GCACACAACUUAACCUCUCUUGGUUUUUCUGGCACGCACUGAGUAUUGGUGGCCGUUGGAUCUGAUCUUGACUCGUCGAUGGCCUGGCCGGGCUACUAGUCAUGUGCUGGAACGUUUGGUGGCUAACGUGUGUGUCUUCCUUCCACCUGUGUGGCCCAAGCCGGUCUACAUAUAGAUCAAGACAGGGACACACGGACUAGGUAGGGCCACAUGGCAAUUACGUGUGCAUUUUGACAAGUGGCAUGCAAUUGGGCUAGACUUGACUCCCAAGCCAAUGUUCACAUCUCUGCGCUGCAUUGCUCUUCUUUUUGUGUGACCUCCUUCUAGUCAAGCCUUCAAUAUCAGUCUUUUUUUCAUGCGCUUAUGCCCUGGGAUGAACUAUUUUUCGCAGGCUUCGGAGAAGGUGCACGCCGGAAAAGGGGGUGUGAUGACAAAAUGUUUGGUAGUACCUAGUACUACAGUACUACUACUAGAAGCAUUAUGUUGUGUAGAAAAGCAAAGUCCUUGUGAUUGUUAUUAUGCCUUUACUUUGCAAAGUCCUUUUGAUUGUUAUUAUGCUUUUAACUUGCAAAGUCCUUGUGAUUAUCAUUAUGCCUUUUAUUUGCUUUCGGCUGCGUAAAAGCAAACCAAAAUUUUCAAGUACACCUAGUAGUAGCUACGGGGAAGCUAGGAUAGACACGCUAAUAUACAAUUGGAGCCAUAUAGUUAAUCAGUUCCUAGUACGUAGGGCCAAGGUAGAUUUAAUCGUGGCGAGGACACCAAUCAAACACCACGUUCGUCCGCCCGUACGGUACCGCAAGAUGCAUGCAUGCAUGAUCGAUGCCCUACCAUGAGCUAGUGAAGUGCUCCUACUUAAUUUAGCAAAUGCAAUGAACAAACCUUGCUCAAGGACAGACAUGCAUCAUGAUGGCUACGAAUGGAAAUUAUUUGAACUAGAUAUAGCAAUUCUGCUCCAUAUCUGUCGCUUAUUUUGUAACGGAGGAUAUUGCCAAAGUCCCUCUCGACGUCUUGACUUUGCGAGAAUGCCCAUGAUUUGGCUAUCAGUGAAGAGCCCGGCACCCGGCGUACACGAAAAUUCCAGUAGUGUUAAAUUAAGCUUGUGCAACUGGAAACAACUAGGAGCAUCCUUCAUGGUCCAGCCGGAUAUGCUCUUGGAUAACUUAGCCUAGGAAAUGGCGAUGCCCGGAUCUCCAGGACAAGCAGUCGAUCGGGACCAGUAGCACGGGCAGCAGUUGAUUAAUGGGCAGAAAGGGAAGAGCGCAUUAGCUUUUGUAAGAAGCGCGGUGAUCGUCCAGCUGCUAGUAGUUGUGGUCCUGCGUGAGUGUGCUGUGCGUGAUCCGUUGGCGAUCUGCAUUACUUGGGCAAUAAUUUCUCCCUGCCAUGGCAAGCUGGUUUGGCUCAUCUGCCGUUUUGUGUGCACGCGUCCCGUUAUCCUCUGGCCGAUCCGAUCCGAUCUGAUCCUGACAGGUGAUGCAUGUCUUAGCUACAAUUGUUGAUCAACACGAAUCACAAGAUUUGUAAUCAGCAUUAUUUCUUCUCCAUUUGGACACCGGAGAACCUCCCGGGAAAAAUGGGGCGACAUUUUUCUUAACACAGUACAGUCCGACGUUCGCACGUGCACGCACAUACAUUUCACAAUGAACGCAUGCACACCCUACCUUUCUGAGCACCUCCGAGAUGCUGACCUGGCAUAAUAUCUUGAGCUUGAUAAAGUCGCCACAAGCACCUCCUAGUGGACGGAAACAUUUUCUCCCAUUGAACGAACAUCAUCGAAAAGACUAAAAAGAAAUCUAGAAAAUUGCCAGCCCGAGGGCCAAGUCUAAGGCUCGCAGAUGCUCAUAUUACCUACAUAUAUGUACGCACACACGCACAUUGUACCCCUAUGAGCACCUCUGAGAUACCGAGCUAACAUAACCUUUUGAGAUUGACGAUGUCACUAUAAAUGCCUCGUAGUCGACAAUCGAUGGGAACAUCUCCUACUACUGGACAAACAUCACCAAAAAGCCUGCAAUAAAAUCCAGAAAAAUGUGGGGGACAGUGCCAAGUCCAUGGCUUGAACCACCAUUCGAUCUGUUCUGUUCACAUGAUGCGGCACAUGCACACAUCUUGGCAGUCGUACGUCAUGCACCGAAAACCUGGGUUUGUGAAGCUUCAAACCCGAGGAAGCCAACACACGACGCUUGGACAUCGGCGAGAGCAUCGCCUCACAUCUUCUAUUCUUAAAAUUAAGUUGAUUCCAAUUUUCUUAACAUGCAAAGUGUCCACCUCAACAUCCCACUGAGCCAUGCAUUUAAGUCCUCUCUCCCACUAAACCAUGCAUUUUAAAUCCGCCACAUAAGCAAGCCAUGCAUUUAACUUAUAAAUUAUAAUUAUUCUUGCAUUAGUCUAUUCAUGUAACGCUGGCACAUCAUACAUGCAUGUUACUAGCUCAUCGUUCACAUUUUUGUACAAAAUAACAUGUUUAAAUAUAAUUAUUACUUUAGACUCAUUUUUAUAUUGAUUUUCAAGCUUAUAUUUUCAUUUCACUAGAGUUGGUUAUUAAACAACUAUUUAUGAUUUUUCUUAAUAAACUUACCGCAGCAACGCGCAUGGAAUCAUCUAGUCUAGUUGAACAAACAAUCCACCUCAAAGAGACACACGUGACAUGAACACAUGAGAUCUUAAUCUCUGGAAUAAUAGAUGAGGGGUGUAUAUUAGACCGACCAAAGAGUUGAAGGUUGAUAUAUGCACUUGUCUCUCUGGUGAUGUUCAAAAAAAGAUCUUAAUCUCUGCUGCGCAUUGCAUCCUCAUCGUCUCGACCAGUUAUUGAUGACGUGCCGCUGCAGAGAUGCGGAGGCCGUGCGCAGCAUCGUCGUGAUGUUGAUAUAUUUUGCUUCGCGGGGAGAAAGGAAAUUGCAAGUCACAGACGUUUUGACCCUGUUUGAAGAUGGGUUCCAGAUUUUUGUCGGUAAAACGAGUUUACAUUUCACGUUUAGCAGCAGCCUGUCUUGCGUGCCAAGAAAAUCAACGGAUCGGAGAAUGAGUGUCCUCUGGCUUCUACCAACUGUCUUGCGCGCCAAGAAAUUAAGGAAAGCACCAGGCGCUCACAUGCGGAGCAUCGUCGCAGCAGAUCCGCUCCCAAUCACCGGCUCACACACACGCAGCAGCCAACUAAUCAUGGCCCCCAUUAAUCAACACGCAUUAAUCCGCUGCCCAGCCUGUUUACCACAAUAAUAAACAACAAAAUUAAUACCCCUAACCGCCAAGGGAAACCAGCACGAGCCAACCGCCCCCGCUGGCGUCUCAUCCAACCGUCCAAUCUCCUAAGCCGUAGAUCCGACGGCUGUCAUCCGCUGGUGGGGAGCGGAUUCGAAACCGCCAGCGCCAGCUAGCCGCUUCCCGCCCGCCCCGCGCCCGGCCGCCAGGGCCCGCGCGUUAGAGCGCCCGCCCCGCUCGGUAGCUUCGCCCACCCGCACCCGCCUACCGGUCCGCGGCGGGCGGCGCCCCCUAUAAACAUCGACGUGGCCGCCGCGUUGGCCCCCUCGCCCCAAUUCCCCACCCCAUUCCCCACCUUCCUCCGCCGGGUAGCUCCUCCGCCAGAUUCUGGCCGCCCGUGAGGAGCGAGCGCCCAAUCCCCCACCAUCCUCCCCGCCCCCAAUCUCCCAUCCGAGUCCGCCAGGUCUGGAUUCUCNNNNNNNNNNNNNNNNNNNNNNNNNNNNNNNNNNNNNNNNNNNNNNNNNNNNNNNNNNNNNNNNNNNNNNNNNNNNNNNNNNNNNNNNNNNNNNNNNNNNNNNNNNNNNNNNNNNNNNNNNNNNNNNNNNNNNNNNNNNNNNNNNNNNNNNNNNNNNNNNNNNNNNNNNNNNNNNNNNNNNNNNNNNNNNNNNNNNNNNNNNNNNNNNNNNNNNNNNNNNNNNNNNNNNNNNNNNNNNNNNNNNNNNNNNNNNNNNNNNNNNNNNNNNNNNNNNNNNNNNNNNNNNNNNNNNNNNNNNNNNNNNNNNNNNNNNNNNNNNNNNNNNNNNNNNNNNNNNNNNNNNNNNNNNNNNNNNNNNNNNNNNNNNNNNNNNNNNNNNNNNNNNNNNNNNNNNNNNNNNNNNNNNNNNNNNNNNNNNNNNNNNNNNNNNNNNNNNNNNNNNNNNNNNNNNNNNNNNNNNNNNNNNNNNNNNNNNNNNNNNNNNNNNNNNNNNNNNNNNNNNNNNNNNNNNNNNNNNNNNNNNNNNNNNNNNNNNCACGAGAGCGACUUCCUCGAGGGCGGCGGCGGGGGCGGGGGCGGGGGCGACUCGCGCGGCAGCAGCGACGGCGAGCCCGGCGGCCUACACGACCUCGCCCACCUCGCCAACAAGAUCUCGGCAAGACAAUCGGCCUGCAGAAACUAUGGACCCCCGAGACGAAGCAAAAGAAGCGAUGUUGGGGGACAUAAUCGCACACGGAAGUGAGGCCGUCUUGUCGUUUCUCAACGACACCGAUGGUCUGGAAGGAGAGGGUGAAGAAGCAGACUACGGUGAUCGAACAAUGGAGGAGGAAGGACAUGAUCAUGAUGGCUCCGGUGACCCAAUGCCGGUGCAAGAUGGACACCGUGAUGACGGCUCCGGUGACCGAACGGAGUCUGGCCAGGUAUAUAUAUUAAUUAAGCAUGUGCUAACUAUAGCUAGCUAAUUGAUGCAUUAAUUGUUUUUGGUAUGUACACAUAUAUUAAUGAACUCUCGUCUUUCUUCUUUUUUCUAGCCCUCCGGAUCGAGCACAACUUCGGUAAAGAGACGAGGCCCGAAGAAAAAGUUGCGCUCGGAUGUAAGGUUUGAGAUCAUAGAAAUCACGCGCGAUGGCAUGCCGAUUGAACCCAUCCGGACAAAGGAAGCAUUUGCUGCUCAGUGCAGGGUUCUUGUUAGGGACAAGAUCCCGAUCAGCGUCUACCAAUGGUUAAAGCCGGCUAAAGAAGACCCUGAGGUACCGGUGUCUUAUGUCUCCGAUAUGCAGAAAGAUGAUCUUUGGACCGAGCUAAAGGCCAAUUUCACCCUACCGCCAAAGGAGGAUCCGGAGAAGCCAGUUAAAGAGCAAUUGAUCAAGUCUCAUGCUCUUAAGAAGAUGGUAGAACUAUUCAGGAGGUGGAAGAAUGAGCUGAAAAAAUUUGUCGACAAAGAAGAGACACCAGAAUUCAUCGGCCGGUAUGAGAAGAUCAGAGAUCACUGGCCCGCAUUUGUGGCCCACAAGACACCGAACAAGAGUAAGAAGAUGUCAGUGACAAAAAAGAAGAAUGCUGCGAAGAAGAAUGCUGAGAAUGACCUGCUUGAUAAAGGGGUUGAACCAGAGACAUUCAGGUGGCCAGACCGUUGCCGGACUUGGUUCUUCGGGGCUGGCGGAACCUUGGACCCUGUAUCAGGGAAGUGCGUUUGGACGGACGAGCAAAUGAGAAUACCAGUCACGAGGCUUCAGGAGUAUAUCGAUGCAGCCCAGAAAGGGACGUUCGUUCCAAACAGAGAGAACGACGAGCUCACAAUGGCCCUCGGGAAUCCUGAGCACCCUGGACGGACACGAGGCACGCCAGGCUCCGUUCCGUGGAAGGCUGGGUUUCCGGACGCAGGCGGUUACAAAUGCCAGGACAGGAGGAAGAAAGUGGAGCAUACCCAACUGCAGGCGCUGCACACAAGGGUACUAGCGAUAGAGGAACGAGAAGCAAAUCGCAGCAAACGACCUGCCAAAGCUUCCCCCGAAGCUACCCCGCCAUCUCAGCGGAGAAGCGACGUGGCUUCCACCGAGCUGCUUCAGCAGGAGCCUGUCUUCACGGCUCCUGCUAGCUACCCCGUGGAUGCUAUCACGGAGUCUCAACAUUGCCACCUUAUGACGCAAUGGCAGAACUUCAAAGUCAAGGCGGCUGUUGGCUCUGUUUUACCUAUUGAACCUGGCGCAACCUACCACUGCCGGCCGAUUCCAGAAGGAUAUGCUAGGGUGAUGGUGGAUCAAAUAACGGACGGAUUUGAGGACCUCCAGCUUGACCACCCUACGGGUGAAGGGGAGAUUCGGCUUGGUUCUUCUCUGAAGACUCCAUGCCUAUGGCGGAAGGAGCUCAUCAACCUGCCGAACUGGACGCCUCCGCCUCCUCCUCCGGCGAGUCAGGGCACUCCGCCUCCUCCUCCGGCGAGUGAUCAGGGCACUCAGCCUCCUUCUCCGGCGCGUGGCAGCACUCCGCCUGCGCCGGCGCGCCCGAGCAGCCAGCCUCCUCCUUCUCCGCCUCGCCAGCAAGGGUGGAAGAGACCCGCCGCCGCUCCGGCUGCUCCGGAGCGUCGUAGUCCUUCUCCUCCGCCUCGUAAGCAAGCACGAAAGAAGACAGCCACAGCCGCUCCGUCUGCUCCGGCCUCUAGCAGUACAGCCAGAGGCGGGAGGCAAUACAGAUUCGGUCCUUUUUGAAGGAAUUGUUUUGAGAGCGCGGACUUUCAAGAGCAGCAGUGAUAAGUGGGGCGGCAACACAGGCGGAUUUCAUCUUUGGUGGUACCCCUCGGGUGCCUAGUCGUGACUUUCAGGGUGAAAAUUUAAGAUCUGGCCUUCAUUGGUUGUGCCUGGCGAUUGCCUUGUUGAAGGAAUUGUUUUGAGAGCGCGGACUUUCUCUAGGGCGAAAACCUAAGAUCUUGGAUCGAGCAACGACGGCGCGUGUGCACUGUUUCCUUCUUGGAGGCGUUGCUUUUGGAGACCUUUUACAUUUUCCGUGUGUUGUAUUUGGUGGUGGUAUGAGUGCUGCUGUUGAGAGGAGUUGAUUGUUGUAGCGGGACUUUUGGUUUUUUCCUUCUUUUUAUUUUCUCUUUUGGCUGUGUGCAUCCUGGAUGUCUCGACGACAUCUUGUAGGUGUAGAGUCUGGGUGCAAUCGGUAUCAUCAGGAUAUUAAUAUAUUCCCUUUUAAAAAAAGAGGUCGGGUGUACCUGGCAUCAUCUUGAUAAAUUGUUUUGCCAUGGCAUCAUCUUGAUACUCCCUCCGCCCGGAAUAACUUUGUCACAGAAAUGGAUAAAAAUAGAUGUAUCUAAAACUAAAAUACGUCUAGAUACAUUCAUUUUUCUGACAAAUAUUUCCGGAUGGAGGCAGCAUUUGUCUAGAUUCGAAUGUAUGUAGACAUGAUUUAGUGUUAGGUACAUUUGUAUCUAGAUAAAUUUAUAAGACAACCAAUUUGAGAGGAAGGUAAUAUUUCGCUUUGUCAGGGGAAAAAAUUGUACAAAGGCACAAACAUUUUUGACCUGGUUGAAAAUCGGUUUCAUAUUUUUGUUGUUAAAACGAGUCUACAAUUCACGUGAAGCAGCCUCUCUGUCUUGUAUACCAAGAAAACGGAAGGAUCGGGAGGAUGAGUGUCCUCUGUCUUGUACUACUACCUGUCUUGCGCGCCAAGAAAGGAAAGCAGCAGGCGCCCACAUGCGGAGCAUCGCCGCAGCCGAUCAGCGGCUCACACACACACACACACCAACUAAUCAUGACCCCCAUUAAUCCGCUGCCCAACCUGUUAACCACAACGAAGAACAGAAUUAAUACCCCUAACCGCCAACCCAGCGGAUUCGAAACCGCCAGCCAGCCGAGCCGCUUCCCGCCCGGCCGCCGGGGCCCACGCGUCAGAGCGCCCGCCCCGCUCGGUAGCUUCGCCCGCCCACCCGCACCCACCUACCGGUCCGCGGCGGGCGGCGCCCCCUAUAAACAUCGACGCGGCCGCCGCGUUGGCCCCUCCCCCCAAUUCCCCACCCCCAUUCCCCACCUUCCUCCGCCGGGUAGCUCCUCCGCCAGAUUCCGCCCGCCGGCGAGGAGGAGCGAGCCCCCAAUNNNNNNNNNNNNNNNNNNNNNNNNNNNNNNNNNNNNNNNNNNNNNNNNNNNNNNNNNNNNNNNNNNNNNNNNNNNNNNNNNNNNNNNNNNNNNNNNNNNNNNNNNNNNNNNNNNNNNNNNNNNNNNNNNNNNNNNNNNNNNNNNNNNNNNNNNNNNNNNNNNNNNNNNNNNNNNNNNNNNNNNNNNNNNNNNNNNNNNNNNNNNNNNNNNNNNNNNNNNNNNNNNNNNNNNNNNNNNNNNNNNNNNNNNNNNNNNNNNNNNNNNNNNNNNNNNNNNNNNNNNNNNNNNNNNNNNNNNNNNNNNNNNNNNNNNNNNNNNNNNNNNNNNNNNNNNNNNNNNNNNNNNNNNNNNNNNNNNNNNNNNNAUCCCCGUCCCCCACCAAUCUCCCAUCCGAUUUCGCCAGGCCUGGAUUCUCCCCCCCGGCUCUGAUUGCUCCGCUUCGGUUCGCACGAAUUCGAGAGGGCACGUUUUCGUCGGGAGGGAUGAUGCUGGUGGCCAAGGAGUUCGGCGCCCUCUCGCCCCCGGGGGCGGUGGCGGCGCAGCGGAGGUGGGCCCCGCCGUCGACGGCGAGGGUGUCGCCGCGCGGGGGGUCGCCGGUGGGGGACCUGUGGCUGCGGACGCGGGGAGGCGGGGACGGGCCCGGCGGGAGCCAGCACGGGAGCCACGAGAGCGACAUGGACCUGGCCAUGCUCGUCAGCGACUUCCUCGAGGGCGGCGGCGGCGGCGGCGGGGGCGGCGACUCGCGCGGCAGCAGCGACGGCGAGCCCGGCGGCCUCCACGACCUCGCCCACCUCGCCGACAAGAUCUCGGUACGUCCUGUUGUCCCACCUGGACGCCCUCCCGUUCCCCGCCUCCUCUGCUCUGUUCGUGUGGAUUUUACGUUUUGGUUUGGGGCCGAGGUAAAUUUCCCCCAAAAUUGUGCCCAAUUCAUUAACUGGCCGGUAGGUUAGGUCGCUGGCAGCGACCCUAUGAAACUGCCCAAUUAUUAGGGCUUCCUAAUCCCAACCUCUGAUCACUACUCGUUGGAGGAACAUUUCUGGAAUCGCGUAUAUACAGCGGUUGCUUCCAAAUGAAUUUGUCCUUACUAGCGCAAUUUUGGUAGCGGUUGCUUCCAAGUGAAAUUGCCGGUACUAUCUAUGACGUUGCUGCCCUGUUUUGCUUUGCCCUGAAUUUUAUCUCUAACCACAGCUCAUGGUAAUAUCAGCAACAACUUAGAUAUGCCUCGCAUGUUUGAUCCGAUUUGACUCCAUGACCACAGUACAAAAGAAUGAAUUUACCAUUAUAGAGAGCCCUCCCAGAUGAAUUUAUCGUUACUAGCACAUUUUUGGUAGCAGUCGCUUCCAAGUGAAUUUUCGUUAGUAUCUAUGGCUGCCCUGUUUUGUUUUGCUCUGAAUCUACUAUGUAACCACAGCUGAUGAUAACAUCGACGACAAAUUUUGAUAUGCCUGGCAUGUUUGAUCCGAUUCGACUCCAUGACCACGGUGCUAAACAAAAAUCUACAAUGACCUUGCUGGGCUUGCAGCUGUAAUUUUGAUUACACAGCAGUACAAUUUAGUUGUCUCUCAAGUUUUGAUUGCACAGCAGUACAAUUUUGUCCCACCUAUCAUGAUUCUACAGACCAUUUUUAUGCUUUAGCCCUAUUGGUCAGGGAUGAAAUAAAGCAUCAGCGUGGGCACCAGUUGUUCCCCUGCUGUAAUCAUGAGCUAGCCGAUUUGUAAUCAACCAUGCCAUGUGCGCCCUCAUCAGGCCUGAUUCAGAGGAGGCACUGGGCUAUCUUUUUUGCUCAUUCAUUAGUCUUGCCUAAAAAUAAUAAUUGGAUAACUUAACUUAGCAUAUCUGUUGUUGUAUCCCGAGGCUGACCUUUUGCGCAUCCAUUUUAGAUGUACAAGCAGGCUGGAGACGAGAAGGAAAACGAGCUGCUCUCCGUGGUUCACUCACUGCUGUUCUCGAUCCACGAGACAGAGCUCCAGGAUUUCGUAAGAGGUCAAUGUACCGGCAGCUGCAUCCGUCAUCUACUCGUGAAGCUCCUGAGGUACUCGGGAUACGACACGGCCGUCUGCGUGUCCAAAUGGCAGGGGUUCGACAAGAUACCAGGAGGUAAUAUAACCACCAGACCAAGGCUUAGCUACUUAUGCUGUUCGAUUUUCUCUAGAAAUUGAGCUGUGUGGCUGAGCUGUUUGUUGUUUUGCCAAUCAGGUGAUCAUGAGUACAUUGAUGUCAUAAUAGACAAUGACCUGACAGGUCCAGAGCGUCUGAUCAUCGACAUCGACUUCAGGAGCCACUUUGAAAUAGCCAGAGCAGUCGAUCCUUACGGCACCCUGCUGGACUCGCUUCCCGUGGUCUAUGUCGGCACCCUUCCCAGGCUGAAGCAGUUCCUGAACGUGAUGGUCGACGCGGCGAAAUGGUCCCUGAAGCAGAACUCCAUGCCCCUGCCGCCCUGGAGAUCCCUGUCCUACCUCCAAAUGAAGUGGCACUCCAAGUACGAGAGGAAAGGCCUGCACUCUGAGCAGCAAGAGUUCCAGGGCGCAUCCCCGAGCCGCGCACUGUGCUUCGGGCAUCUGAAGCGGCUGAAAUCCUCACUGCGGCUGGAACUCGAGACCAGAAGGUUGCUCAUGAUGCCGGUCAUGCAGGCCGGCACGAAGAGGACGGCAAUGUACGAGAGGCGGCGUAGGCGCUCCCUGCUCAGCUUCUGAUGCUUCUUGGAUGCAGAAUUUUUGGGGAAAAAGGAGAGGGUCUUUCUUUUUUGCGGGAUUUUGACAGUUAUAAUGGGAGGUAGACGGUGGGUGCUAAGCACUAACAGGGGAGGAGAGUGCAGAUUACAUGCCAGGUUUUUUUUUUGAAGGCAUAUAUACAAAAGAGAAAAAAAUACACAAAAUUCUUUUCGAUUUCAUUUUUGGUUUCUUGGGCGAAAGAUGGUUGCUGGUGAUGAACCCGCUAGCAUACCAUGUAUGUACAACCGAGAGUUGUUGCAAAAUUCUCCCCUUAUAUUGAUUUUUGAUCGUAUAUGUUCGUCCUACCAUGUGUGUUUGUAUUUCGAAGAAGUAUAUUUGUUGCCGUGCUUCAUUUGGUUCCGAAGGAAAUGAUACUCCCAUGGAACAACAAGAUCAAAUGCUGGUGUUUUGGAAACGCCGCCACUCGCCGAUGUAUAUUUCUAGAGGCAUGCUCUAGCCUUUUCCAUCAUCCUCUUGUCCCCUCUAAUGAUGUCUCUGUGAUUGAAAAAUAGGAGAAUCUGAGAAAGAAGCGACAGUGCGGGUUGUAUAUGUUAUUAUCAUCGACGUGUUGCUAGAGCGGAGCGGAGCGGGGUGCUUUACGGAAAGAAGGGGGGAUUUUGCGAGGAAAGAAUUGAGAAAAGGAGAUGCAGGUUGCAAUGGCUAACACAGGUCUUGAUUCCCCAGCCAGGAUCAUCAUGAUGUUUGUCUGUCCAUCCAUUAUUCUUGUCAAAUGUCUUUGUUUGUUAAUCAAGUGGGGCGAAUCAAUCAUGUGGCAUGUUAAAUUAACAGCAAUUUGCAGCAACUGUUGCUGCUCGCUUGGGUGUUCAUGUUGGCCUGCCUGUCCCGCGGCUUGGGCUUGAUCCUCGGCACCCGAGGGAUGAACACACAGUGAGUGCAGGUCUUUGUCUGCAGGUGUUGUUUUACCUUGUGGUUCUCAUGUUUGGCUCAUGAUCUGUGCGUCUGGCUGGUCACACCUUUGCCAGUUUCAGCCUGCGUGGAUGUGCUUCAGGAGCAGAGCAGCGGGUGGGACGGCAGAACAUAAGAAUCAUGGGAGCAUGGCAUGAAGUUUUGCUGUAAGCUUUUUUUUUUUCUUUUGAGAUUGCUGUAAGCUUUUUUGGGUGAACUUGUUCUGUUCUAGGUUGCAUACUAGCAAAGCAACAGUUUAACUAGAAGCCAUAAGUGAAAUAAUUUAAACCCAAAGAAAAAAAAUGUGGGGCGAGAGAGGCUCGAACUCUCGACCUCAGGAUCACUCGCAUAAUUUAGCUAUGAGACCUACGCGCUAGCCAACUGCGCCACCGCCCCCUUGUGCUAUGGUUUCUCAUGGUAAGUAUAAGAUUGUCAAGUCUCGGUCCAGACGCCUGCUCAUCUUUAUUGGUAAUUCUACUCAUCUUUAUUUUUUCACCGAAAAACUUACAAUCUAUUCAUCUUCAAUCAUGGCAGUACAACGAAUACCAAAAAUAAAAAUUACAUCCAGAUCCGUAGACCACCUAGCGACGACUACAAGCACUGAAGCGAGCCGAAGGCGCGCCGCCGUCAUCACCCCUCCAUCGCCGUAGUCGGCCACAACUUGUUGUAGUAGACAGUCGGGAAGUCGUCGUGCUAAGGCCCCAUAGGACCAGCGCACCAGAACAGCAACCCCCGCCGAUGAAGAAUAACGUAGGUUGGAAGGAUUCAACCCGAAGACACACGAACGUAGAGCAAACCCACCAAAGAUAAAUCCGCCGGAGACACACCUCCACACGCCCACCAACGAUGCUAGAUGCACCGCCGGAACGGGGGCUAGGGCGGGAGACCUUUAUUCCAUCUUCAGGGGGCCGCCGCCGUCUCGCCUUCCUGAACAAGACACAAACCCUAACAAGACAGGAAAAAACGACUGAAAACGGAGCCCUUCCACCGGCCCUUGGCAGGAUCCACCGCGCCCCCAUGGCCUUAGGGCCACCGGAGACGAGGCGGACCUGCGGCGGCGCUGGCGAGAGGCAGAAACCCUAGCUUUCUUUCUUGGAGGAGGAGGCUAAGAAAAUGUCACUCAUCUUCAUUCACAGCCCCAGUUUUACGUGUGCAACUUGCACUAACAGCAGUAACAGCCCGAGUUACAAAUGGUGUGUGUGUACAUUUCUUCAAAGCUGAUGCAGUAACAGCAGACUCAUAUUGUUCAGUUCAUAGCCGACACAAUGAUAAGAGCUACCUGUCAAUCAGUUCAAGAUUCCGACAACCCCACGGUUCUCAAGAAAGAAAGGAAAAGAUACUACAAAAUAUGGAGCCUACUACUUCUCAAGGAUCCAUCAUUCCAUCAAACUGUACUUUGGGGGCACAAAUGGGCCACCAUGUGAUCCAGCCCUUGCACUUCUUUUAUUCAGGUCCAUGUGCCAGCAAACCAAUCUAUCCGAUAUGCAAAAUAGAUAAUGGCAGGUGGUAAUAAGAUAUUAUUCAGACUAGAAUCCAAAUAUGGGUGUAUGUAUCGAUAUUCUCAACGCACUCGCAUCAUCCAGGUAAGCAUGAAGCAUCAUCAUUAGUAUAAUGUUCAGCUUGAAGCAAUUUGCUAGCACUGAAUGAUAUUUCUUUUUACAUCCUUAGCAAAGAUGAUUUGAGUGUGUGGCAGAUUUUAGAAACUACAUCAUGCAUACAGUUACUAGUAAUCAUCUGCGGUCUAUACUCGGGCCUUAUCCAUGAAAAGAAAGAAAUUGUAAACCUCGGAGUACCAAGACUCAAUCCCGAACAUUGAUCUUAUUGGUUUUUAAUUAUAUAAAAUGCAAACGAAGUCUAAGAAACAUGAAACCUGGCAUUGGUGUCAUUAUAUCAUCCCUAGAGGGUACAAUAAAAUUUGAGAAGGUUUCACAAACAUUGUCAUGUAAACUACUUCAAAUUUGUCUUUUUAGAGGGAAAGAGCCAGGUUUUAAGGCGACGGAUUUAUGUGGCUCCGAUAUCCCACCUCCCAACUCGUCAGCUUUGUUGCCGACGUGCCAUUGGCAACCGCCUCCUCCCCUCCCCCACCCCCCAACUCUUCUCCCUGCUACAACCUGCCCCGCCCCUCACCAGAUGCAUUGGAGAUGAAAUUCAUAGCACUGUGUGACCUGCAAAACUCAAAAUAGUUUGCUCGAAUAAAAAAAACUAAGGAAUUGGGCUAUUUGAGCACAGAGAGAGCUUCGCCGACGAAAUUCGAGAUCUGGUCAUCCCAUCUCCAAGUGAGAUGUCGUCGUCCACGGUCACCAUAGGGGCUCGGCAAGGAAGGGGGUGGCAUGGUUGGCUGAGGAGGUGGGCCGGGGAGAGGGUGGGGCUCUUUAGAGAGCGCUUGAGGUGGGGCGGAUGCGCGGUGCGCCUUUGAUGCACAAGGAGCUGCAUGAGGGCACUGUUGCUAGGUGGUACAUGCCGAAGGGCGGCACCGGUGAGGGGCAGUGGUUGCCAGAGAGAAGCGUGUCGAGGCAAGGAGGGGGCUGAUGGUGUGCGGCGAUGAAGGUGAUGGAGGAGACGGGGGAAGCGAUCGUGUGGGGUUGUUCCAGAGCGGGAGGGGGCAUGUUUUUUCUAGGGGCGUGCGACGCAGGGCGCUAAAAUUUGGUUGGUGUUGAACAUGGGAGCAAUAUAAAACGUUGGAUUCGAGUAUGUGUAGGGUGCAAAUGUUUUGGAUCUCCACCUUUCGUGCUUUUAUAGUGGUAAUAGAUGCCACAUGGCAUAUGUGCUUUUUUGAAUGCAUUCACUUGGAAAAGGUGGAAAAGCUAUGUCGAGUUUUACACUUGGCAAACAUUGUGCACAGAAACCAAAAAAAGGGUUGCGUCGCCGGCUCAUCCCUUUAUCCUGGACCGAGUGGCGAACUAAUAGAUCCAUGGCAGAAGAUUACUACCAUGACCAUGGCUAGUAGCAGCUAGGGGUGAUGGCCAUGGCGGUGCUCACGGCAAGCAGCCUCCUCUUCCUCUCAGGCACGGCCCUAGAGGGGUGACAUGUUGGCCAUGACGGACAUUACGCCUCAUAGGCCAGCAAGAGCUGGAAUGGUAGUGACGACCUACAAGGGAGAUAGAGGGAUGGGAACACAAGCUCAGGAAUAGGAGGCCGUCGCGCAUCCGAUGGCGGCGUCUACCAUGGAUUUUCUCCCUGAUGGCUUGCUCAGAGAAGAAGAAGAGGAGCGUCGAGGACUGGGGAAGAGAAGCGGCAUCAGCGAAGAAGACAAGCAACCAUAUGUGGCCUAUGAGGAUGAAGAAAUUGGAGAGAUAAGAGGUAAGGAGAGAGAAAGGAGUUUUGGUGUGCUAUAUCUAUCAUGUGAUGCCACCUCAUCGAUCCACAUCCUCCCCUUCCAACUAAUCAGGACGAAGUGCAUAGAUUGUGUGUUUCUCCAUUAGGUGGCUCUGCUGAGUGUAACACUCGACAAACAUUAUUUUCUUUUUCUUUUAAUUUCUUUUCUCUCUUUUCCUUUCUUUCUUUUCCUUUCUUUCAUUUUAUUUUCUUUCUUCUCUUCUCUUUUCAACCCACUUUUGCUAACUUUCUCGCGCACUCGUAUUUAAAAUUUGAAUUAUAUCUGUUAAAAUCCUAGAAAUACACUUAGUGAGCUAAAUAUAGCAAACAAAUCCGGAAAGAUGCCAAAUUUUGGCAUGGAAUGUGUGAUUGUGUAUGUUGGCCGUGUAUUAAAAAAAUCAAUGUCAACCAACUAAGCCACCAUCAACGUUCUCAUUGUUCCGCCUAGAGCAAGCAUGCAGGCGCACACGAGCACCGCCGCCUCUCCCGAGGACGCAAGGGCAGCCACCGAGGGCACGAUAGGCGCAGGCACACUGAAACUGGCCCCAGAGCUGAUGAGUGUUUUCCUUAACUUCUUUAGGCACGCGAGCUUGAUUUAAUCUUUAACUUUCAAUGUAACUUUUUCACAUAUGGGCAAAAAAAUUGACACGAGGACUGUAGUUAUAGUUUCUUGCCAGAGUUGUGGUCUUUUUUUUUUUAUCAAUGACUAAUUCACAUGAGUACGAGUGGCAAAAUUUGUAUGCAUGUCUACGAAGUACAGGACGAGAUUCUCAUUGCUGGCGAGCUUCAGGUAGCUAGCAAGAACUUUGCAACACUAACUAGAAAAGCCAUGGAUGUUUAAACUUAAAAGCCAUGGCGCUAUGCAAGAGAUAAAAGUUGUAUAUCCAUCUUAUGAUGAGAAGAAAAAAUUAAGAAGAGGAUGAAUCAGAAGAAAAAUCAUCAUAAGUAGCAAGUAGGAAAAUCAUCAUAAGUAGCAAGUAGAAAAAUCAUCAUAAGUAGCUCGUAGGAGCCAUCUACAAAAUAGAACUGUCCAUGUUUGUAAAUAUUUGUCUUUGCUGUGUGAUGUGAUGUGUGCACAAAUCAUCAUGCAACAGUUACAUAAUAAUAAAGACAUAUAAUUGUACAAAAGAAAAAAUACACACAAUUCUUUUUCAUUUACCUUUUUAUUUCCUCGGGGAAAGAUAGAUGCUGGUAACGAACCUGCUAGCAUGCCACGUACAACCGAGAGUUGUUACAAAUUUUCUCCCUUAUGUCGUUACCAUGUGUGUAUGUGUUUUGAUGAAUUAUGUAUUGUACAUUGUUGUGCUUGUCCUGCAAAAAAAAUGUUAUUGUGCUUGGUUUGGUUCUUAAGAAAAAGGAUACCCCAUAUGUAACAAGAUUGAAUGUUCUAGCCCUUUCCGUCAUUCCUCUUGUCCCCUCUAAUGAUGUCUUUGCGGUUGGAAAACAUGUGAAUCUUUCCACGAGAAAGAACCAGCAGCGGGAGUGCGUCUUCUACAUAUAUUAUCAUCUCAUGAUGUUAGUGGAGUAGGGUGCUUUACAAAAAGAAUGGAAUCGCCCCUGAUUUGGUGGGAGUAGGCACUGGACUAUAAUGUCGAUCAACUAUUUUCAGUGGCGAUGCAGAUAUGGGGAUUCCUAAAACAUCAUGUAUUCAUGUUGGACAUGCAUGUGUAUUUGGGUGUAUUUUCCAUAUGCUUUGAUCGGUACCCAUCUAUAAUUUAUUGUGGGUUUAUGGCCAUACAUCUUGGAAUAUAAUGUUGUGACUUCUUGCCAUGGAAAACGUAAAUGGCACACGUCUUGUGAAGAUAGUGGACCAAUAGCACAUGAUGGUACGUUUGUCUUCAAAAAUGCUGUAAGUUUAGUAUUACAAAUUGUGCGGAUCAAAAUUGCAUCAAGGUUUCGUGGUGUAGUUGGUUAUCACGUCAGUCUAACACACUGAAGGUCUCCGGUUCGAACCCGGGCGAAGCCAUCUAAUUUAUUUUUCUUUUUCAAUUUUUUUCUACUGUGUAAAAAAUACAAAGAAAAUAUAUUUGGCCCAUACAGGUCUCGAACCUGUGACCUUCGCGUUAUUAGCACGACGCUCUAACCAGCUGAGCUAAUAGGCCUUUUUGAUAUUUCUAGUUAUUGCACUUUCUAUAUUGGAACGAACUGAAUAUUAUGUACCUUCACUAGGUCCCUGGUAGUGCUUACAUCGUGUUGUUACAUCCUCUUCCUGCUAGUGAUGCUUUCGGUUUCUUUCUAAUGUUGCGAGGUUUCGUGAUGCAUUAGCAGGAUCAGAGGCCGGUCUUUUGUUGUUGGUCUUCUCCUCAAGCUGCCGUUUUCCUCUUCUCUAUGGUUUCAUUUGCGGCAGUUUUUUUUUUCUUCUGUUGCUGAGUUCUGUAUCAGACUGUACCUUGGUUUAUUAUCCAUAUUCAUCUUGAAAUACAGCGCAGGAAUUUAUUUGCAAAACACGGAUCACAACAAGACACGACGGUAUAUUAUGCGUCUUACAUUAAAAAAAAUGCAUUAAGGUCUCGUGGUGCAGUAGGUUAUCACGUCAGUUUAACACACUACUGCACCACGAGACUAUGCUUGUAAGUAUUCUUCCCUGUUGGAAUCACCUUUUUUCAUUUUUUGCUUCUUCGGCAAAAGAUGGAUGCUGGUGACGAGCUCGCUAGCAUGCCAUGCACAACUGAGAGUUGUUACAAAUUCCCCCCUUUCUUACAAUUUAUAUUUGAGCAUAUACAUACGGAUGUGUCAUGUGUCCUUCAAAGUCUUACCAUGUGCGUAUGCAUUUUGAAGAAUUGUGUAUUGUAUGUUGUUGUUGUUGCACUUGGUUUGGUUCUUAAGAAAAGGGAUACCCCAUAUGUAACAAGAUUGACUGCUUUAACCCUUUCCGUCAUCCUUUUGUCCCCUCUAAUGAUGUCUUUGUGAUUGAAAAACAGGAGAAUCUUUCCAUGAGAAAGAAGCGAUAUCGGCAGCGCAUGUUGUAUAUGUUUAUAUCAUGUGACAUGUUACUAGAGAGGAGUGGGGUGCUUCACGGAAAGAAGGGAGGAUUUGCGAGGAAAGAAAGGAACAUAUGAGCGCGUUGAGAAAAGAAGGAGCCCGUGGUUUCGACUUGAUCCUUGGCACCUGAGGGAUGAACACAUAGUGAGUGGAGGCAUUUGAAACAGUGGGAGGAUCGCCUGAAGCUUUUUCUGCUCUAGGUGUUGUCCGUUAUCUUCCUUUUUGCUCUUUUGUUUUGUUGUUCCUUUAUUCUCUUGAAUUGCAGUACCGCCGGCCUAAUCCAUCGUACGGAAAGAAAUGAAACGAAAAAAGUUGGCAUGAAGUUUCGUGGUUGCAUACGAGCUAAGCACCAGGAAAGUGGAAACAAGUCCAGACCUAUUACAUUUUAACUGGGACCCAAAAGGGAAAUAAUUUAAAGCCAAAGCAAAAAAAAAUAUGGGGCGAGAGAGGCUCAAACUCUCGACCUCAGGAUCACUCGCAUAAUUUAGCUAUGAGACCUACGCGCUAGCCAACUGCGCCACCGCCCCGCUUUGUUAUGGUUUCUCAUGAUAGAUAUAAGAUUGUCAAGUCCCGGUCCAGACUCCUGCUCAUCUUUAUUGGUAAUUCUAUACUCAUCUUGAUUCACAGCCCCAGUUUUACGUAUGCUACUUCCAGAGAUUCCAAAUGGUGUGUAUACAUUUCAGCAAAGCUGAUGCAGUAACAGCAAGCAAAAGCUCAUCUUGUUCAUUUCAUGGCCGACACAAUGAUAAGAACUAUACCAACCAAUCAGUUCAAGAUUCCAACGGCCCCACGGUUCUCAAGAUAAGAAAAUAUGGAGCCUACUUGUGAAGGUGCACUCUGGAUCCAUCAUUCCAUCAAAGUGUACUUUGGGGGCACAAAUGGACCACCAUCUGAUCCAGCCCUUGCACUUCUUUUAUGCAGGUUCAUUGGCCAACAAACCAAUCCAUCAGAUGUAAAAACAGAUGGAUCUCCUCCUCCGCGCCCCCCACGACCCCCACGUCGCCUCCCCCGGCGGUGGCGGGGGAACCCUAGCAGUGCCGCCGCGGCCCCCUCCCCACCUCGUCCCACCUCCUCGCCGCCGCCUGAGGCAGCCGCCGGGCAAGCCCGGGGCGCCAAGGAUGGUGGCGGCGGGGCCUCGGUUGCCCUACUUCUGAGUGGGGAACCCCGGAUCUGGAGCGGCGGCUUCAUUGGCAAGGCAUGGCCGACUAGCAGUCGUGCGGGCGGUGGAUCUGGUGUCCCGGCCGUGCGGGCGGCGGGAUCUGGUGGUCGUUGGCGGUCGGUGGCGGCUUUUGCGGCGGCCGGUGCGCACGAUCUGGCGCCUCCCCUCCUCCCCUGUUCGGCGUGCGGGCCAGCCUGGUCGGGCCGCGCUUCCUUGUGGUCGCCGGUUCUGUACAGGAGGCGUUGUUGGUGGCGGAUCUAGUUCGGGCGAAAUCCCUGGCCGGCCAUGACCGGCUGCGCCGACGACGACCCCUGAGGGCGCCGUUCCCCUCCUUGGAGGCGUCGGUAUGGACUGAUCUCCUCACUUCACCUUCCCCUAGGUCUCCCGGGCGAAAGCCCUAACUUUGUUCGGCGGCGGCAGCGCUCACAGCGCCGUUCCCUUCUUGAAGGCGUCACUUUGGGAACCUUGGUGUUGGGUGGCGCUUGUGGGUGGUGGACGACGGUGGUGUUGCGGCCCUAUCCUAGCUUGGAUUUACGUCCGUUGCUUGGAGAUGGACUCGCGUAGGCGGAGGUCGUCGGCUGGCGUCGUGGUGGCGUCAAUGGCGGAGGACCUGCCAAGGCUCACGUAAGUGGAGGUCGUCGUUUGGCGUCGUGGUGGCAUCGAUGGCGGAGGACUUGCCAAAGUUAUCACCUCAAUGCGGUCUGAAGAUGGACCAGCGGAAGACGGCGGCGACUACACAUGUGAGUGCGUCGGACCGGUUCGAGCCCCGGACCUGGCAGAUGGCUCGGUCGGGGCCUCCAACUUUGGAUGUUAGGCUUAGGUGAGAGGUCUGGGUAUGUGGCCCAGCUUGCACCCCUUCAUCAUUUGGAUAGGAGUAGCGGCAGAUGUUGCCAAGAUGGCAGAUUCAGACAUAUUGUUGUUCUACUUUGUAAGGUCCUCAAGAAUAAUUAAUAAAAUGGCCGCAUGUAUCUUUCAGAUGCAGAGGCCGGGGUCAUCCUCCUUUAUAUAUAUAGAUAUAAAAACAGAUAAUGGCUUGCAUGCUGUGAUAAGAAUCCACAUAUGGAUGUACGUAUCGAUAUUCUCAUCACAACUCGCAUCAUCAAGGUAAAGCAUGAAACAUGGUCAUUAGUAUAAUGUUCACCUUGACGCAAACAAGAUCAUGGAAGAAUACGGCAAAGCGAAGAAACGAUAACGGACGGUCCCCCGCGUCGCUCCUCCAGGGGCGACACGGGCGGAAGCCCCAAAUCGCCGCUGCCGGCCACCCCUCCUCUCCGCCCUCCCUCCUCGCCACCGUCGGAGGACAUGGCCGGGCGAAGCCCGUCGCAUGGACGGCGGUGGCGGGGCUUACCCAUCUCGCGCCGGCGCGGGUGGCCCCCUGUGUGGGUGUGGCGGCCGUUCUUGUGACAGCCAUGUUGGCUGGUCUUGGCGUGUCGGCUGGUGCCGUCCGGCGUGGAUCCGGGGCUUCUCGGCCCGGAUCUAGCGUCUGCCGCGCUUUCGGCUGCGAGGGUGUUGGUGUUGGCGCUGUUGCGCGUGGAUCCGUGUUCGUGCGCACACGGCGGUCCGGCUCGGCGGGCUUUCAAGCUGCUGCGCGCGAGGAGUUGUCGGUGCUUGUUGCUGUGGGGUGCGGGUGGUGGUGCUGGGCUCGGCCUGGGCAGGGUCUUGCGGCGUGGCUGCGGCGGGCCGGCGGCUGGAGUACCCCGACGACCUCGCCGGCGACCUCCAGCAGGACGGCGCUCGUGCGGCUGUUUGGUGGGCCGCCCCGUUUGGUCCUAGUGGUGGCUGCAUCGGGCGGAUCUGGAGCUGGAGCUCGUGUGGCAGCUUCGGGUGGAUCUGGUGGUGGCAUCUUCGUGCGGCUGGAUCCGGAGCUUCGGGGUGGCAGCCCGUGCUCCGCGCCUAGUGAUUUUGGUCUGGUGGUGUGCGUCGCACCGGCUGCGGCUCUUCGUGGGAGGUGCUGCAACAGCAAGGUUCGAUCCCCCCGCCUUCAGUCUGCACUGCGGGCGCUUCAGAUCUGGCCUCCAGCAGGCGUGCGGUGGCGCGCGUGGGGCGCGUCGGCUCGUCUGAUGUAUGGCUGCAGCCCGGAACCAUGGUGGUUCUUGGCCUCGUGCAGCGCCCCUCUGCUCCUUGCCAGCAUGGUGCUUGGUGGGGCACGGUGGCUCGCGUUGCGUCCGGCCGGCCAUUGGUGCAUCUGGCGUCUAGUGUUGAUUUUGGCCGUCGGUGGUCUCCGCGAGGUGCGGCUGGCUGAGGCGGUUCGUCGUGCUUCUUCAUCGUUGGAGGGUUCGAUGGCGGUGGUGGUCGGCUGCCGUCUUGCUGUAGGGAUGUGCUCAAACUCCGGGGUGAGAACCCUGCAUCGGCUCUGCUGAUGCCGGCGGCAGCGGCGUCUACGGAUGUCGUUUUCCUUGUAGGAGGUGCCGUCGUGGAGCAACAACACCUACAGUUCUUUGUUUGUGGUCUCCGGGUAAAAACCCAAGAUCAGGCUUGCCGGAUCGGAUGACGGUGUUGUAUGCUCGACAACACUACCUUCUUGGAGGCGUCGUCUUGGAGACCCAAACAACGGCUUCUGUUGCUGUGUGUGGUUGUGGGUGGUGCGGCCUGCUCAGAACCGAGGGUGGUGUGUUCUUCUUUAGGUAUUCCUCUUCGGCUGUCCUACGUGUGGUCUCCGGCCUGCUAGUAUGCAAGCUCAUGACCCCGUUCUGUUGAGGCGAGCCUCGGGCUCUUGGUGUCGUCUUUGUUCACCUUUGCUCAAUGACGACGCAAUGACGCCUCCCCGACUUGCUAAUCGUCUUGAACUUCCGUGGUGGAGCGCUCAGUCAAGGUUCAUGUUAAGCUUUGGCACAAGGUUCGUGUUAAGCUUUGGCACUCGUUGAUUGUGGCUCCUCUGUUGUGCUGUGGGGUUUGAUACGCACGCCGGUGCGGUGCGUUAGGCUGUUUGUAGAGUCUUGGUAUUGUGAUCCCUCGACGCACCCCUCAUUUACCUGGUCCUGUUAGUAUGCUAGCUAGGUCUUGCCUUAUGUUGGGCGUCCUGUUCCUCUCCUUUCCUUAUAACACUUGUUACUUGUCUGGUUUUCGGCUCGGUUUUCUUCAUAAACGGGGUCAAUUUGUUAAGGUUUUCGAUCCGGUUUCCCUUAUAAACUGGAUCACUCUCCUGGCAUUAUGGCCACUUUGAGCAAUAUAUUCAGGUGGAGGGACUCCUCCCCCGGUGAUUCUAAAAAAAAAAGAUCAUGGAAGAAUAAGUUGCUAACACUGAUUGAUAUUUUUUUAUGUCCUUGGCAAAACAUGAUUUGAGUGUAUGGAAGAUUUUAUAAACUACACCAUGCAUACAAUAACUAGUAAUCCUUUGCGGUCUAUAUUUAGGCCUUAUCCAAAAAAUGGAAUUCCAAACCUCGGGGUAACCAGACUCGACCCGAAACAUGAAGCUUACUCGAGUUGAUUAUAAAAAAUGGAAACAAAGUCGAAAAAUAUGAAACCUGGCAUGGUGUCAUAAUUAAUGUUAUCUCUAAUGGGUGAGCUAAAAUUUUUAGAAGGUAUUCACAAAAGUUGCGAUGUACACUACUCAGAAACUGAAAGAAUCUUGGUUUCAAGAGGGAACAAGUCAGGUUUUAAGGCGAAGAGUCGGUUGCUUCGUUGGUUAUCCUGGAUUUUUUUAUACACCUAACAUGCACCAUCACAUAUUCCAUGCCAAAUUUUGGUAUCUUUCCGGGUUUGGUUGCUAUAUUUAGGCCAUUAACUGCACUUAUGGGCAUUUAAAUGAUAUAUAAUUCAAGUUUUAACAGAGAGUGCGUGAAAAACUUGGCAAAAGUGGGUUGAAAAGAGAAGAGACUAAGUAAAAUAAAAUAAAGAAAAUAAAUGAAGAAAAAGAGAAUGAAACUAAUGACUGUAGAGUGUUAACACUCGAUAAAGCCACCUAAUGAAGAAACACAAAAUUUGGGCGCUUCGUCCUGAUUGGUUGGAACGGGGUGGGUGUGGAUCAAUGAGGUGGCAUCACAUGAUAGAUUAGCACAACAAAAUUUCCCAUCUCUCUCUCCAAUCUGUCUCAUAGGCUACCUACAAUUGCUCCUCUUCGUUGUCGGUGCCGUCGUCGCUCCACUCCCCCUACCUUUGCUGCUCCUCCUCCUCCUCCUCCUCCUCCUCUUCUUCUUCUUCUUCUUCUUCUUCUUCUUCUUCUUCUUCUUCUUCUUCUUCUUCUUCUUCUUCUUCUCCUAAUACCGUGCCGGUGCGCCCCUCCCUCUUUAUCCCUUGCAAGUCGUUCCCACCAGUCCGGGCUCUUGCUGCUCCGUGAGGCGUUGUCUCCAUCGCGACUAGUGUUGGAAAUAUACCCUAGAGGCAAUAAUAAAUGUUAUUAUUUAUUUUCACGUUUGUAGGUCAUAUUCAUAUUUCUAUGCAAGAAUUGAUAUGGCUCUUGAAUGUGAGAUUCCGAGGAAAACUUAUAUGCAUGUGUAGAAACAUAAACGCAAAGUGUGUUCCUAGUCUCGCCUCUCCAUAGUGGGAGAUUACACAGUUCAAACAAUUAGGAAUUUUUCUGGAACUAAAAUAAACAAAGAAAAAUCUUUGAAUUCAAGAACAAUUACUGAUUACUAAACUUUGAUUUUGCCUUUUUGUUUUAAAAACUAAUGAUUAUUUAUUAAACUAAAAAAUUAACUACUGCUUAUUGGAAAUUAUUUCGUAGUCCGAAUCAUACUAGAUUUUCGUGAUAUAAUAUAAUUUCUAACUAUACAACUUAUACACAGAAAAAUUACCCUAAUCCAUUUUUUCCUCUUGAAUCCUUUAGUUUUAGUUAGCUCAUGAAAAUUUAAUAUUAUUAAUUUCUUAUUAUCCAUAAUGGAUUUACCUGGACCAAUAGAUGAGAUUCUUAUGCUAGCUAUUUGGGGGAUUUGUUCUUCUACUAGGGGGUUUACGAGUAGUAUUACUUACCGACCCCAGUUGUUCUGCCUUUUCGUUGGGAACUUGGCACUAGUUCUUGUUUAUAUAUCUAUAUUCCAUUUUAUUAUUUAAUUCCUACUUUGUAGCCGGCGCACAACUUCUUAUUUAUGUGGGAGCCAUAAAUGUCGUAAUCAUAUUCGUUGUAAUGUUCUAAAUCGCUCAGGAUGGUCUAAAGAUAAGAAUCGUUGGAGUAUUAGAGAUGGGUUCACUUCACUCGUUUGUAUAACUAUUGUUCUUUCACUAAUGACUAUUAUCCCAGAUACAUCAUGGUAGAAGGGGAUUUCUAAAGCAUCAUGUAUUCAUGUUGGACAUGUGUGUUUGGGUGUCUAUUCCAUGUGCUUUCAUCGGCAUCGAUCUAUAAUUUAUUGUGGGUUUAUCUCCAUAAAUCUUGGAAUAAAACGUCGUGACUUCUUGCAAUGGAAAACGUAAAGAAACACGUCUUGUGAAGAUAGUGAACCAACAGCACAUGAUGGCAUGUUUGUCUUGAAGAAUCCUGUACGCUUAGCAUAACAAACCCGGGAAAAAUUGCAUCAAGGUUUCGUGGUGUAGUUGGUUAUCACGUCAGUCUAACACACUGAAGGUCUCCGGUUCGAACCCGGGCGAAGCCAUCCUUUUUCUUUUGUUUUUUCGCAUUUUUCGUUGUGCAUUUUCAAAAAUGUAAAAGAUUAAUGGCCCAUACAGGUCUCGAACCUGUGACCUUCGCGUUAUUAGCACGACGCUCUAACCAGCUGGGCUAAUAGGCCUCUUUGUAAUGUACAUUUUGUCAUUCUAGAUAUUUGCCCAAACUGAAUAUGACUUGCACGGUACCUCCAUUGUCAUCUGACGAAAAGAGUAAGCAGAUCACCGGAGCUCUUUUUUUUUUUUUUUCCUUUCUUAUACAGAUAAUAUGAACCAGAAGAAAAACCAUCUUUGCUUGUUGGAGCGAUCUGCAAAAUGCAGCAACAAAUCUUGGUCGGCUAUCAGGAUUCUCAUUUCACUGUCGACGUUUGGAAGUAUUCGUACCUGUUGGAGCCUUUUUGUCAUUGUUUCUGUGAUGCGAUGGUUGUGCGAAUCAUCUUGCAACAUCUACCUAGUGAUGAAUGCCAUAUGCGCAAGUGGGUAAUUAAUGGCAACUAUAUAUACCCGAUCUAAGCGCUCCAAGAGAAAACAAUAACUCUCGGCUUCUGCAUCAUAGGAUGCACAUAGCCAAAUUUUGUUCAGUUUUUUCGGGGCGACACUAUCUCAUGGAAGAAGGACUAUGUUUUUCGUGGUAUCCCUCCCUUCUCUAUACCUGGACAGGAAAAUAGCGGCUGGCAUGCAUGGAUCACCCAAGUCGCCAUAUGAAAUACUGGUCACCUCACUUAAUCGAUCAUCAUCAUGUCAAUCUUUGGUUUGCGAUGUUUAAAGGCUUGGACGUAUACACAGGGAUACAAGUCGUAUAUCCUUCUUAUGAUGAGAAGAAAAUUAAGAAGAGGAUGAAUCAGAAGAAAAAUCGUCACAAGGAGCAAGUAGGAAAAUCAUCUUUGCUUGUAGGAGCCAUCUACAUAAUGCAGCAAUAAAUCUUCGUGUUGUCUAGUUUCCCAUUUCACUGUCCAUCCUUGUAAAUAUUUGUCUUCGUUGGAAUCUUUUGUCACUGUUUCCGCCUUUAUGUGAUGCAAUUAAGAUACUUUUCAAAAGGAGAAUAAAUACAUAAGAUACUUUUCAAUUAUAUUUUGUUUCUUUGGCGAAAGAUGGAUGAUGGUUAACAUCACAUGCUAGCGGGGUUCAUAACCAGAACCCCUCUAGCAUGUGAUGUACAACUGAGAUUUGUUUCAAAUUUUCUCCCUUACGUUGAUUUUUGAUAUGGAUGCAUGCGUCAUGUGUCAAUUCCUGUUACCAAGCGUGUAUGUGUUUCGAAGACUUGUGUAGUGUACGUUGUUGUCCUUUGUUUGGUUCUGAAGAAAAGGGUAUGUAUACCAAGAUGGAAUGCUCUAACCGUUUCGGUCAUGCAUCCUCUUGUCCCCUCUAACUAUGCGAGAAUCUUUCCAUGCGAAAGAAGCAGCUGCGGCGGUGUGUGCUAUAUGUAUACUAUCGCCUGUCUGAUGAUUUAACUAGAGCGGGGUGCUUUACUAAAAGAAGGGAAGAUUUGCGAGGAAAGAAAGGUACAUAUGGUGAUGUUUGUCCAUCCAUCCAUCCAUCAAUUGUUCCCUGUUUGUUGUCAGAGUCCUUGAUUAAACAAUCUGGGCGAGGGUGAGCUGUGGAAUUAACAUUUGGAGCAACUGUUGCUGCUUGCUUUGUGUUUCAUACUUUCAUGGCAGGUUGGCAACCUGCAGUCUGGUGGCUUCAGCUUGGCUCUGAAGACAUGAGUCAUGCCUGAUGGGGGAGUGCAGGUGUUCUUGGCAGCUUCAAUUUGCAAGGAAUUCGUCCAGACCCGACCUGCUACAGGGUAGAAAAUUGAAAUUCAGCGCUAGGAACAGCAAGUUGAAUAAUUUUAUUCCAGAAAGGAUGGUUACAGGAAAUAUAGGAGCAAAAAAAGAAAUGGGACGAGAGAGGCUCGAACUCUCGACCUCAGGAUCACUCGCUUUAGCUAUGAGACCUACGCGCUAGCCAACUGCGGCACGGGCCCCUUGCGUGUCCGGCUCUCAUCAAGGCGGCGCUCAAGAGAGGUUGUUGUCUACCUAAUGCCAUCCCUUCGAUCAGACUGUAAUGGCAGUAGCCCCGGUUUCACGGGUUUCGAUACCCCAGCAAUGUGCAAGAACAUCCUCGAAAACGUCUGAUGCGACUUCACCUGAAAGUGCAUCUGGAACUGCUCGCAGUGCUGAUUUAGAUGCUGUAGGAACGAACAAAGAUUGUGGUGCUGAAACAACCGGUCAACAGGAUCUGUCCUCUAUUGGCGUUUGAUAGCUCAUUGCUACCUCGCCGGAGGGAUGGGGAGAUAGACUCUGACCCAGAUCUCGCUAUAGCCGCCAACGGAUCAAUUCAUUAAGGGCACACCCAGGCAGGGAAGAAUUCUCAAUUAGUUCAUUGAGUUUAGGAAAGGAUGCCAGUUUGGAACAGUUGGUGGAGCAUGGUGAAACGCGCUCAUUUGGAGUGGCUGAAACAGAAACAUACUCGAGAGCUACUCGUCUUCCUAAAAGCUCUAGCAAUGCAAGACCUGUCCUAAUGCAAUAAAUACUGGUGCUCUCAAAUUCAAUCAGCACAGGUACAGGGCCAGGUGCUUCUCCAGCUCUUGGUACCGUCUCUUGUGCCCCACCUAUAAUGUCAAGAUAGCUCUGUCAACCAACGUUGUUUUAUAGAUCCAACCUUACCAGAUUGAUACCGUCACAUCGUAUCUGUCCACUCCCCUAUUCCCAUCCCGUGAGCCCCCUCCCGUACCUACAUGGCUACACCAUCACCUUGCUGACCCAUCCACCCAGAAUCGCUUUCGGACGGCAGUGUCGGCCCUAGGUCAUGGCAAAAGGUGCGGCGGCCUAAGGCCCAUCUUAAUUAAGGCCCCGAUAUAUCUACAUAUUAAACAAAUUACAAAAAAAAAUUGAUUUGCAGAACAAAAAAUCAACAUGAACAGGUGGCAUAUGCCCCCCCUCCUUAUGGCACUUCACCACGUUCUACUUAUUUAAUAGUUAUUUAUAGUUGAGUUCUUUAACAAGAGGCUGAGUGCGUGCGCUUAGUGUGGCCGGUGCAGCGGUGUUCUUUGUCUUGGUUCGUGCCACGUCACCAAAACCACCGUCAGAAACCGCUUAAAGCAGUGCCUUUGGGGUGUUUUAUCAGUUAUUUCAAAGUUUGGAGGAUUAAGUACCCGGUUUUUGAAUUGAGGGGGUGAUAUGGUCGAAAUCUGAAUGUCUAGGGGGUUAUAUAUAUUUAACUCGACGGCAAAACAUAAGAACUUAAGAAGGCACCAAGGACUGGAUUUGGUACAAGAACCGUGGGAGCAUGGCCUGAAGUUUUUUCCUUUCUAGGUGUUGUUCCGUUAUCUUUUUCUAAUCUUUAGUUUUGAUGUACCGUUAUCUUUUGAUUGCAGUACCGCCUGCCUAAUCCAUCGUACGAAAAAAGAUGGCAAGAAGUUUCGUGGUUGCAUACGAGCUAAGCAACAGGAGAGUCUAAACAAGUUCAGACAUAUUACAUUUUAACUAGGAGCCAAAAGGGAAAUAAUUUAAAGCCAAAGCAAAAAAAAUUAUGGGGCGAGAGAGGCUCGAACCCUCGACCUCAGGAUCACUCGCAUAUUUUAGCUUUGAGACCUACGCGCUAGCCAACUGCGCCACCGCCCCGUUGUGCUUAUUUCUCAAAUCAGAUUUUAUUGUCCGUGGAUGUCUCUUAUAUGUGUUGUAAUUCACGUAAUUGUAUACUAUGUUUGUGAAAAAAAUAGUAGAAGAAUUCGAGUUGGUUAACCAGAUGAUAGAAAAUAGGUAAAGGCGUGUUAUAGAAACAUGAUGACACAUAUAUGUUGAUACAGUUAAACUUGGACGGCAGCAAGUAGGUUGGUUGGUUAUCACUACUCAAAUUGGUUCUAGACUAAAGUAGCCAGGCAUAAAUAUAUGAUUUAAAUCUUCUACCCAUAUUAGUAUUCAAACCCCCAGUUUUACAUAUGCAUCUUCCUGCAGAGACUCCAGAUGCAUGGUCUGUGUACACAACAAAAUUAGCGAUCUCCUCCUUGUAUCUGUCUGGAACCUUUGGUCGCUUGUGGACAAAAUGAUAAGCGGCUCAGUUCAAGAUGCGAAAAGAAAAAACAAUCCAACGGUUCUCAACUAUCAAGAAAUAAACAAGAUCCCCCUUUUCGAAAAAAAAGAAAUAAACAAGACGAUACAUGGAGCCUAGCAUAUGGGCAAAGUUAGCAGAAGACACAAAAGGAUACGCAGAAAGGCGCAGCUGAAGUAGGAUGUAAAUAUAGGUGUGAAUUUUGAGCCACUCAUCUGCAGCAUCAACAUUGGUUACCACAUUGAUCAGAUUCGUGUCAUCACUCCCUCGGUGAUUUAGGCGAUAUGUGCAGAUACAGUUUCCACUCCCCAAGGGGCACCGUGUCAAAGGAUUUUCUUGGAUGUAGCUAUCUCUGGCCGGGUGUGCACCUGAGAAUUUCUCAGGAAAGAAAGAACAAAUCCUCGACCGCAAAACCGACACAUCAUUUUCCCCCACCCUGGGUCUAGCUGUAAUGCUGAGUUAUCUGUGUACAAUUACGCGGCACUAGCUGACCAGAGUUCCCUGCUUCCUACUUCUAUAAUGGAUCCAUCAGAGUGUACUUUGGGGCAGAAAUAGUGCUAUGUUCAGGUUCAGGUUCAUGUUCCAGCAAACUAAACCAUAUAUCAGGAAGGGAAACAGAUUUUGUUUUUUUAGAAAAGGAGGAAGGGAAACAGAUAGUGGUAGCUGGCUGCAAUAAUAAAACAUUUAUUGGUACCUUAAUCCAUAUGUAUGCAUCUCACCUCGCUGCAUCAAGAUAAGCAUUAAGCAUCCUAAAAAAAGGAUAAGCAAUAAGCAACAGUAUAAUGCUCACCUUGGAGGAGAGAAGAUAGAUCAUGUAUAAGAACAAAAAGGUAAUACAAAACUCCUUUUUGGCGAGGCUAUCCAGCAAGAACAAACAAAAGUUUUUUUUUCGGGUACAAACAAAAGGUUGACUCGGGCUCGGCAAGAUGCGACACAUAUCUGCAGCUGGGCUUGUGAACAAAAGGCCCAACGCCCGUUCGUCACUGGAACAAAACUACUAUAAUGCCACGAGUCAGUUUCCAUCCAAACUAGAGUUGUAUGAAAUUCCCUUAAAAAAACUCUUUAUUUUACGGGGCUAUCCAGCAAGAACAAACAAAAGGCUGACUUUGGCUAGGCGAGAUGCGGCACAUCUGUGCAGCUGGGCUUGUGAAUAGAAGGUCUAACGUCCGUUCGUCGGUGGAAAAAAAAACUACUAUAAUGCCACGAGUAGGGAUAAAAAUGGAGUGGAAACUUUUCGUUUUUCUAGCGAAAAAUAAAAACAGAGAGAAAACACAGAAUUUUGCAAAACUGAAAUGAAGUUGGAAUUUUGUAUGCGGAAACAGAAAUGGAAAUGGAACAACGUUUUACGAUGGAACAGGCGCGGAAAUGGAAUAUUUCGUUUCUAUUAAUACAACACAUAAUUAUUAGGCCCUCUACAUAACGUACAUAACGUGUGGCCCAUAUGGCCUAACUUCUAUACUACUAUCAAUACAGUACUAGUAUAUAUACUACUAUUGAAGUCGUCAGCUAUGUAAACAGUGAUGUGUGAUCUGUAUGACCGUAUGAACACUAUUGUGAUUUGCGCUGUAGUGUUUGGUUGUUUGAUGCCUUCCAAGUUUUUGUGUUGCCAAUUGAAUAUUUAUGCACAAAUGAAUAUCAUAUUAUAUAUCCACAAUGUUGAGUAAACGUGAUUGUAUUAGGAAACAUAGGUUAGACUAGGAAAUAUUCUGGCUUGCCUUGUACUCCAAGUAGAUCAUGUACUCCUAUAUAUAUGCCCACGAGGCUCAAGCAAUACAAUGAACUAUUCCAUCAAAUCCCUCUCUCCCCUCUAACAUGGUAUCUAUCGCAAGUUGAUCCUAAACCCUAGCCGUCGCCGCUUCCGCACCCGCGCGCCGCCCCCGGGGCGGUCGGCCUCCAUGACCGCCGCCGGGGGCCGCGCCGCCCGUACCUAGGGUUCGUCCGCCGGUCGUGUUGACUGGCUGCCCUAGAGAGUCUUUUCCCCGAGCCUUGCUCCGGGGUUUUCUCUCUCCCGCCGGUCAUCUUGAUCGCGCGGUUUCUUUUUGGUUUUCCGAUCUAUUCUUGAUCGGUUUGCGUCGCCCACCGCCGCCAUCGACCCCGAGCGCCUCUACUCCGACCCCUGCGCAACCGGCCGGCCGCUUCUCCGACCCGGCGGCCAUGCGCGCCGAGGCGGCCCGUCAGGGCCAGCCGCCNNNNNNNNNNNNNNNNNNNNNNNNNNNNNNNNNNNNNNNNNNNNNNNNNNNNNNNNNNNNNNNNNNNNNNNNNNNNNNNNNNNNNNNNNNNNNNNNNNNNNNNNNNNNNNNNNNNNNNNNNNNNNNNNNNNNNNNNNNNNNNNNNNNNNNNNNNNNNNNNNNNNNNNNNNNNNNNNNNNNNNNNNNNNNNNNNNNNNNNNNNNNNNNNNNNNNNNNNNNNNNNNNNNNNNNNNNNNNNNNNNNNNNNNNNNNNNNNNNNNNNNGUCGCCCUGCGCCGGCCGUCACCGCCCUGCUCCGACUGGGACACCUGCAUCGCCCCGACCCGGCGGCCUCGCGCCAUGCGACGGCCAAUCAUAGCCGUCGCUCGCGCGCCGGCCCGCCCGUCGAUCCACAUCACCCGCCUCGGCCGCGUCUGCACGGCGGCCCGGCGAUCUACCUCGCCGGCCUCGUCCUCGGCUGCGUCGGGACGGCUGCGUCAGGCCCGUCGGCUGCCUGAACUCGGGCGACGCUGCUCCGUUGGUCGCUCAGGCCUCGCUGCCCGGGCGUCGGCGUUGCUUUGGCAGCCCGGGUGCCAGUGCUGACAAGCUCGUCCGCAUGACGUCCCACGCCGUCUGUCGUCUCCGGCUUCAUCUCGGACUCCGCCGCCACCACGCCUCCACCGAGCGGCUUCCCGACCUCGCGCGCGAUCGGCUUGAUAACCCGCUCGCCGCCGCGAUCCGCCUCAUCUAUGCCGCGCGACCGACCUGGCCCGUCGGUUACGCUCGCCUUCGCAGGUCCCGUGAAGAUCGUCCCCGAGUUCAGCGCGCCUGUCCACCGAUCGAGCAUCGGGCUGCCGCUGCGUCGCCCCAUCGGGCCGCAGCGCCGCCGCCCCGUGGUUCUCUCGCGGCUGCAUCGACUCGUGCGUCGCCGCUGCAUCGCCUCUUCGGGCCGUAGUGUCGCGAUAUGCGGUCCCCGCCGCCGCCCCGAGGCCGUCCCCGCGGUUGCACCGAAUCGCGAACCGCUGUUGUGUCACCCCUUCGGGCCGCAGCGUCGCGGUCCGCGGUCCCCGCCGCCACCCAGAGGUCUUCCCGCUGUCGCCCCGACCCGCCUGCCGCCGCUGCGUCGCCCCUUCAGGCCGUAGCGCCGCGGCCCGCGGUCCGCUCCGCCGUCACCGCGCGUCGACCUCCCGUGGUAUGCGUCGCGUCGUCUUCCUUGGCGCGGGAACGCCACCAUCCGCGCCGGUCUUUGUCACGCUGUUAGGGUUCUUCGCCUACUUCGAGCACCGCCGCCGCACUCCUAACCUAGCCGCCGCCGCCGCCGUCAGGCCGCCGCCGCCGCUACCUUCGUAAUCGCCGCCGCCGCCCGUCCACCCCCUUCGUCUUCGUCCAAGCACCAGCCCGUCGCCAGCGUCGCCAUCAUCUACCCCGACCACUUCGUCUACUCCGACCACCGUUGGUGACAUCGGCCCUGCGCCGAUGGACGCCGCAAUCGUCGUCGAGUUCUUCUCUGCUGGCCCCUCCGACUUCUCCGACAUGGCGUACAACUCGUGCAGGUCCCUCGUCUACGCAUGCCCGGUGCUGGCAACACCGAUGCGUGCCUUCAUCCACGACAUGUCCCCGGGCCUGGCAAGCCUGGUUGGCGCUUCGUCAACUUCGUCUUCAUCCGUCUACGCAUGCCCGAUGCUGGCAACACCGGUGCGUGCCUUCGUCCACGAUGUGUCCCCCGGGCUUGGCAAACCCGCCGCGACGCGUCGUCAACAACAUUUUCUUCCCGGCGCACCCCUACUUCGACACCACUGCGCCCAUGCUAACUCGGCGCCCUCUUGCGCCCGCGGCUCCACGACGACUUCCUCGACACCGGUCACCCCGACUCGACAUCGACCACGGCAUUCUUCGCACGGCUACCUCGACCACAGCUCCACCACCCACGCUCUUGGCUACAUCGACAAACGGCACAAAGGGCUACCGCCUGCUUGAGCAACCUUGUUGGUUUCCACUCCAGCCACGACUCCGCGAUGCGUCGACCGUUACAACUGUGGGGGGGUGUCCGCUUGCCUUCGGAUUCUUCUCCAGUCUCACCGUUUGCGUCGCUACCGUUGUGACUGCGGGGGGAUAUUAAGUAAACAUGAGUGUAUUAUAAAACAUAGGUUAGACUAGGAAAUAUUCUGGCUUGCCUUGUACUCCAAGUAGAUCAUGUACUCCUAUAUAUAUGCCCACGAGGCUCAAGCAAUACAAUGAACUAUUCCACCAAAUCCCUCUCUCCCUUCUAACACACAACAUAUCUUAAUAUUUUGAUACCUUCCAAGUUUUUGUGUUGCGGAAGUUCAAUUGUACUUUGUUGGUUUCAUUGUGGUUUUUCUACGGUUCAAGGGUCUUUGGUUUCAGUGAACACUCGAUUCCGUCUGCGUGUAUGUGUCGUAUUCGCUCCGGUUUCAUUCCCGGGGUUUUUGUAUUUUUUUCCACUUUUCAAAAUAAAUAUGAAAACAAACGUGGCAGCAUCAAGUUCCGUCCGUUUUCACUUCGUUUUCAUCCCUAGCCAGAGUCAGUUUCCACCCAAACUAGGGUAGUAUAAAAUUCCCUAAAAACUAGAUUAAUAUAAAAUCAUAGAUAUGCAGAAUGGAAAAAAGAAGUGAGUGAUGCCCAUUAUUUAGUAGUUGUUACUAGAUCUUAGCGGGUUUAAGCAUUUCUUAAUGAUAAUGUAGUUUCUAGUAGCGUUUGCUUCCUUUAGUGUCGAUUCGAACCAUUGGACGCCAUGAUGGCGGAUCGUCGCCUCUCUUCUGCUUUCGCUAAAUCUCUAUGUCUUGGUUCUAAAUAUGGGUGGCCGGAUUGUGUGUUUCCCCUUGAUAUUCUCAAACGACCACCUUGUGCUGCCUGACUUUUAUAUUUAGGAGGUUCAAGCGGGAGGGUUUGGGGACAAUGCAUGUUCUAUUUACCAGACUCGUGGUGUUGGCUUAUUCUCUCUUGAUUUUCUUAUGCACUACCACACUAGUAGAAAAAGGGUCAAAUGUCAAGCACAUUAGUGUCAGUUUGCUUUUGAGCCGGCACUAAUGCACACAUUAGUGCCGGUUCCAACGGCUAGCCAGCCGCUUUCAUUAGUACCGGUUCGUGGCCGACCUUUAGCACCGGUUCGUGCCAUGGACCGGUACUAAAGUGAGUGGUGGCAGGAUGUUGUCAGUCCGGGGCCCCUCCAGCACCUUUAGUACCGGUUCAUGGCACGAACCGGUGCUAAAGGUCGUCCUACAUAAGCCCUUCGUCCACCCGAGCUCGCUCUGUUCUUCCCCUUUCCUCUCUCCUCUCUGUUCUUCCCCUCUUCCUCUCGAGCUCAUCACACAUUUUGCCCAAAAUUUGUCAAGAUUUGAAGGCCCCCAUCCAUUCAAAUGAUCACAAAGGUUAGCAACUUUGUCCUUUCAUCUCUCAUUGCUAGAUUAGCUCUUGCAAUGCUUUGUAUAGUGAUUAAUUAUGAGUUUAGUAAUUUGGUAGAAAAUAUAUGUGCUAGUAUUUGAUUUAUAUGCAAUUUGUGGUCAAAACUAACACUUAGUUUGCAUAUGUAGGUGUGGUUUACUUAGUGCCUUCUAAAUCUCCGUCGUAACCACAGUCGAUCGCCCGCACCGUUCCGUCGCCGGCACCACCUUGUGGUGAGCCUCUUGUUCAUGAAUGUUUUACAUUACCAAAUUGAUGUUUGUGUGAUUUGGAUAUAUAGUUACUCGUAUAAUUAUCUUACCCGUACGUUGUCUGUUAUACAUAGUGCCAUGGUUUUGAUAUCCGUCCCCGUCGGCCCUCGUCCUUGUUAUGAUUCGGAUGUGGUAUAUUCUCUUUUAAAACUAGUUGUUGCAUUUCAUGUUUAUGACAAAUUAUGCCCAUCAAGUUGACAUAGAUAUUUUUGUCUAGGAGGUUUGUGAACCGGAAAUUCCAACCGACCCUAUUGUCGAGAGGUUAAAUUUAGUUGAAAGAGAAAACAAGUAUUUGAAAGAAAAAUUGAAAAGAAUUGAGGGGGAGAAGAUGGAAUUGGAGUUGCAUGUUGCCGAUGUCGUCGAUGAUCACAAGAUCAAGAUGGAGAAAAUGCGAUUGAAGAUUAGAAAGAUUAGAAAAUAUGCCAUUGAUAGUGAGGCUUGGUAUCAUUAUGCUGUUGGAUCAAUUGUUACCUUAGUUGCGAUCUUGAUCGCAUUUUUUGUUGCAUUUAAAUUCUUUAGUUAGAGAGUUAUUUGUUUGUUGCAUUUAAGUCUUGUAUGAACUUUAUGUAUGAACUUUAUGUAUGAACUUGUAUUAAUUUGGUCUAUUCGGUGUUGUGUAAUGAAGAUGAGCCGACAAUGGAUGUACGAUGACCGAUGCUCUCCCGAGUUCAUUAAUGGCGUGCAAACUUUUCUGCUUGCGGCUGAGGCAAACAAGCGGGCGGAUGGUUUUAUGCCUUGUCCAUGUUUAGUCUGUAAGAAUGAUCACAAUUACUCUACAUCAAGAACCAUUCACGUCCACCUGUUUAAGUCCGAUUUCAUGCCCCACUAUAAUGUUUGGACCAAGCACGGAGAAAGAGGGGUUAUGAUGGAAGACAAUGAAGAAGAAGAGGACGACGACAACUAUCCUGGCCAUGGGUUCCCUGAAUACGAUGAUACAACAAUGGGGGAAGAAGCUGAGCCGGCAAUGCGGGAAGAAGCUGAAGAAGAGGCAUCAGAUGAGCCCGCUGAUGAUCUAGGUCGGGCCAUUGCCGAUGCAAAGAGAAACUGCGCAAGUGAUUUGGAGAAGAAGAAGUUGCAGCGCAUGUUAGAGGAUCACAAGAAAUUGUUGUACCCGAAUUGCGAAGCUGACAAGAAAAAGUUGGGCACCACACUGGAAUUGCUGCAAUGGAAGGCAGAGAAUGGUGUAUCUGACAAGGGAUUUGGAAGGUUGCUGGUAAUGAUAAAGAAUAUGCUUCCAAAGGACAACGAAUUGCCCGAGAGUACGUACGAAGCAAAGAAGGCUGUCUGCCCUCUAGGGUUAGAGGUGCAGAAGAUACAUGCAUGCCCUAAUGACUGCAUCCUCUACCGCGGUGAGUACGAGGAUUUGAACGCUUGCCCGGUAUGCGGUGCAUUGCGCUAUAAGAUCAGGCGCGAUGACCCUGGUGAUGUCGAGGGCGAGCGCCCCAGGAAGAAGAUUCCUGCCAAGGUGAUGUGGUAUGCUCCUAUAAUACCACGGUUGAAACGUUUGUUCCAAAACAAAGAGCAUGCCAAGGCGAUGCGAUGGCACAGAGAAGACCGUAAGAAAGACGGAAAGUUGAGAGUACCCGCUGCGCAGUGGAGAAAAAUUGAGAGAAAGUACGGGAAGGAGUUUGCAGAUGACGCAAGGAACGUAUGGUUUGGUCUAAGCGCCGAUGGCAUUAAUCCUUUUGGGGAGCAGAGCAGCAACCAUAGCACCUGGCCUGUGACUCUAUGUUUGUAUAACCUUCCUCCUUGGUUGUGCAUGAAGCGGAAGUUCAUUAUGAUGCCAGUGCUCAUCCAAGGCCCUAAGCAACCUGGCAACGACAUUGAUGUGUACCUAAGGCCAUUAGUUGAAGAACUCUUACAGCUGUGGAAUGGAACAGGUGUACGUGCGUGGGAUGAGCACAUGGGGGAAGAAUUUGACCUAAAGGCCUUGCUGUUCGUGACCAUCAAUGAUUGGCCUGCUCUCAGUAACCUUUCAGGACAGACAAACAAGGGAUACCGCGCAUGCACGCACUGUUUGGAUGAUACCGACAGUAUAUAUUUGGACAAUUGUAGGAAGAAUGUGUACCUGGGACAUCGUCGAUUUCUUCUGAGCAGGCAUCCCGUAAGAAAGAAAGGCAAGCAUUUCAAAGGUGAGGCGGAUCACCGGACGAAGCCUCGCCACCGUACUGGUGCUGAUGUACAUGAUAUAGUCAAGGAUUUGAAGGUAGUCUUUGGAAAGGGUCCUGGCGGACAACCUGUUCCGAAUGACGCUGACGGACGCGCACCCAUGUGGAAGAAGAAAUCUAUAUUUUGGGACCUGCCCUAUUGGAAAGAUCUAGAGGUCCGCUCUGCAAUCAACGUGAUGCACGUGAUGAAGAAUCUUUGCGUGACCCUGCUUGGCUUCUUGGGCGUGCAUGGGAAGACAAAAGAUACACCUGAGGCACAGGAGGACCAGCAACGAUGCAUGGAAAAGACGGCAUACAUCAGGGUCAUGCCAGCUACGCUCUUACCAAAGAAGAGAAGGAAAUCUUCUUUGAAUGCCUGCUCAGUAUUAAGGUACCGUCUGGCUUCUCGUCGAAUAUAAAGGGAAUAAUAAACAUGGCAGAGAAAAAGUUCCAGAACCUAAAGUCUCAUGACUGCCACGUGAUUAUGACGUAACUGCUUCCGGUUGCAUUGAGGGGGCUUCUACCGGAUAACGUUCGAUUAGCCAUUGUGAAGCUAUGUGCAUUCCUCAAUGCAAUCUCUCAGAAGGUAAUCGAUCCAGAAAUCAUACCAAGGUUAGAGAAUGAUUUGGUGCAAUGUCUUGUAAGUUUCGAGUUGGUGUUCCCACCAUCCUUCUUCAACAUCAUGACGCACGUCCUAGUUCACCUAUGCGAAGAGAUUAGCGUUUUGGGUCCUGUAUUUCUACACAAUAUGUUCCCCUUUGAGAGGUUCAUGGGAGUCUUAAAGAAAUAUGUUCAUAACCGUGCUAGGCCAGAAGGAAGCAUCUCCAAGGGCCAUGAAAAUGAGGAGGUCAUUGAGUUUUGUAUUGACUUUAUUCCUGACCUUAAGCCGAUUGGUGUUUCUGAAUCGCGGCAUAAGGGCAGACUGAUGGAAAAGGCACGCUAGGAGGGAAUCAAAAAAUAUGUAUGGACGUACAUUCUCUCAUUGAAGCACACUACACAGUUAUACAGAAUUCCGCCUUGGUGGCUCCGUAUAUGGACGAACACAAGAAUUUUCUAUGCUCCGAACACCCGGAGCAGUCUGAUGAUUGGAUUACACGUGAACAAACCAGGAGUUUCGCCCGCUGGUUGCAGACACGUACCAUGCAUGACGCCUCUAUUGAAGAUGACCUGUACUCGCUGUCCCAGUUACCAUCUUCGAAUAUAAUGACUUUCAAAGGGUAUGAGAUAAAUGGUAAUACAUUUUACACGAUCGCCCAAGAUAAGAAGAGCACCAACCAAAACAGUGGUGUCCGCUUUGAUGCAACAACCAAGACGGGAAAGGAAACAUAUUAUGGUUACAUAGAGGAGAUAUGGGAACUUGACUAUGGACGUGAUUUGAAGGUCCCUUUGUUUCGGUGCAAAUGGGUCAAUAUGACACGAUAUGGGGUAACGGAAGACCCGCAGUAUGGAAUGACAACAGUGGAUCUCAACAAUCUUGCGUAUGCAGACGAACCAUUCGUCCUAGCUAAUGAUGUGGCACAGGUUUUCUAUGUGAAGGAUAUGUCUACCAAGCCGAGAAAAAGAAAAGAUAAGGAAGCGAAUGCAUCAUACGAUGAGCCAAAUCGCCACAUAGUUCUUUCUGGGAAGAGAAACAUCGUGGGAGUGGAUGACAAGACAGACAUGUCAGAAGAUUAUGAAAAGUUUGAUGAAAUUGCUCCAUUCACAGUGAAUAUUGACCCGAGCAUCCAGUUAAAUGAUGAAGAUUUUCCAUGGCUACGGCGCAAAGGGACAUACGCGAAGAAAAAGUUUCACACCUAAAGAUCUGGGAUGUGAUCGGCUUCACUAUCAUCACUUUCUUCUGUGUUUCACACCCAGGAGGGAAUCUCUGUAAUAGUUAGGGUAGUUAUGUGUUUUGGCAUUUGAAACGCGAAGAAAUUUUAUGUGCAAACAAAUCCUUUCAUGCAUUUCCUGAUUUUUUCAGCUAAAUGACCCUGAAAUUGAAAAGCAUUUCAAAUGAACUCAGAAAAGGUUGAAAGUUGGCACGGUAUCAUAAUUUCACCCACAUAGCAUGUGCAAAAAAGUAGAGAGGGUUACCGCAAAAACUGGAUGCACUUCGUGUAUAAAAUGGACAAUCUCUUUCGAAGUAUCAGGGUUUCGGAUGAAAACUCAUCCGUUACAAAGGGAUUUCAUUUUUUAAAUAACCUAGGCAUUACCAAAUUGAAUAUAAUGAUAAAACACACUAAUAUUAAACAUAAGAAAAAAGAAUCACUGAAAAUCUAUUUUCAAAGUUAAGUUAUUCACACUAGUGAUUCACACAAAUUUCAAGUAAUUCAAAAUGUAAACUAUUCAAAUUUGUAAACUACCGGCACUAACAGAAAGUUUGUAAUUUUUUGUACCUAAAGCAAAAAUAUUCCCAAAGAAACUCUAAAUAUAGCAAAAAAUAACUCAAAAAUAAAUAAACCAAAAAUAAAUAAAGCAAAAAAAUAAGAAAAUAAAAAAGCCCACCUACUGGGCUAGAGUGGCCUGCAUACGACUAGAAACCCAACCUGUAGUUGGGCCAGGAUGCAGGCCCGCAAGCCCAGUAGGCCCACAGGCAGAGUAGGAGAGGUAGGCCCAGAAGGCCUGCUAUUGAGAGGAGCUCUAUGCAGUGCCCGCGUCGGGGCUUAUAAACUGGUCCUGACGCUCCUCAACUAGUGAGGUGGGACGAAACUUCUGCGCCCCUCGCCUGGCAGUGCACACCCUUUAGUACCGGGUGGUGGCACCAACCGGUACUAAAGGGUGGGCUUUUAGUACCGGUUGGUGCCACCACCCGGUACUAAAGGUGGGCGCUUCCCGCCGCUUGGCCUGGCCAAAAUCGACCUUUAUUACCGGUUGGUGGCUCCAACCGGUACUAAAGGACCAUCCUAUAUAAGAAACACUUACGAAAAUUUCGUCAGUUUUCUCCCACUUCUCUCUGCUUCAUCGCCGCCGCCCCGUCCCGCGCCGUCGCCGCCGCCGUCGCGCCGUCCCCGUCGACUCCGCGCCGCCCCCGUCCUCGUCGCGCCGUCCGNNNNNNNNNNNNNNNNNNNNNNNNNNNNNNNNNNNNNNNNNNNNNNNNNNNNNNNNNNNNNNNNNNNNNNNNNNNNNNNNNNNNNNNNNNNNNNNNNNNNNNNNNNNNNNNNNNNNNNNNNNNNNNNNNNNNNNNNNNNNNNNNNNNNNNNNNNNNNNNNNNNNNNNNNNNNNNNNNNNNNNNNNNNNNNNNNNNNNNNNNNNNNNNNNNNNNNNNNNNNNNNNNNNNNNNNNNNNNNNNNNNNNNNNNNNNNNNNNNNNNNNNNNNNNNNNNNNNNNNNNNNNNNNNNNNNNNNNNNNNNNNNNNNNNNNNNNNNNNNNNNNGCCGCCGGCGCUGUCGCCUUGGCUCGCCGUCGCCGUCGCCUGCACACACAACACAUACACACACAUACACACACACACCAUACACACACACAUACACAAUUUUUGUUCUGUUUUUAGUUUUUAGUUUUUCUGUUUUCAGUUUUUAGUUUUUCUGUUAUUAGUUAUUAGUUUUUAGUUUUUUUUUCAGUUUUUUCUGUAUUAAUGUUAUAGAAAUGUUAGUUAUAUAUAGAAAUGUUAGUUUUUUCUGUAUUAAUGUUAUAGAAAUGUUUGUUAUAUAGAAAUGUUAAAGAAAAAUUAGCUAUACAAUUUUAGUUAUAGAAAUGUUAGUUUUAGAUAUGGUCGAUGUUUUUUUAGUUUAUUAUAUUUUUAGUUAUAAAAUUUAGAAUUUGCAUAUAAGAAAUCACAAUCCAAUCAUUUAAAAAAUGUUACUUUACUUUUGCGGCAUAUAGUAUUUGUUGUCGACGAUGCCCGGCCCGCAUCCUCGCCGUCGACCCGUUCGCGAGGACGUCCUGCUUCAGAGGACCCAUGUCCGGGAUUGGGCUCCGCCGGGCUGGCACUGGGAGGUGCUACCUGGAGGGGCGCGACGCUUGGUGAGGAACCCGGCCUCGGGUCCCGUCGUCGACCCUGAUCUCCUUUUGUGGCGUUCGCGUGGGCCACAUUCGGUGCAGAGGGAGCCGGCCCCGCCGGAGGUGGUGCGUCGUCGUGUCAGGGAGGAGGACGAGCACGUCCAUCGCUACAUGGCUGCUAUGGACGUCAGGUUCUCCAAUACCUGGCAGGUUCUUUGGGCAGAUGACCGGAGAUAUGAUCCUAUGAUGGUUCCUUGUCUUUGGGUGUCCACCGCCCGCGCCCCAGGAACCGCGAGUGGCCUAGAUUCUUCUAUAGUAUUCGAUCUUUAUUAGCUACCUAGCCAGUGAUGUAUUCGAGAUUAUAUAUUAUUUGAGACGAUGUAUUCGAGAUUAUAUAUUAUUCGAGACGAUGUAUUCGAGAUUAUAUAUUAUUCGAGACGAUGCAUAUUAUGUACUAUAUGAUUCAGUUUUUCCUUAUUGAUUGCAUCCAUGCAUUGUAAUUUGAAUACUAAAUUGUUUUAUAUUUCUUCUGUAUUAGUUAAAUAAAAGCUAUGGCGGACAAUACCGGCAGAGAGGGAGAAGAGGCCCUGCUCGAGAUCAUACGCAGCCCUAGCAGGCCAGAUGAUCUGAAUGAAGCAAAUGACGGCUCCCAAUAUCUGAACAAUACCGGGGAGGGUGAUGAUAAGAUAUUCGAUCUCGACGACUAAGCUGAUGAAGUCAUGAACUAUGAUUAUGAUUAUGAUGAUGCAGACAAUGAUUAUGAUGACGAAUACAAUGUUGAUCUUGAAAUAACAAAGACUACCGGCGAGGUAUAUUUAUAUAAGCAGGCAUCUAGUGAUCAUCACAUGUUUUUUUAUUUGAAGAUAUAUUAACGAAUCGAUCUUUCUUCUUUCAGCCCUCCGGAUCAUGCAAAUCCGUUUCUACAGACAGCAGGACAAAGUGCCGCCUGAGCAAAAAGUUGAAGGAGGGUGUAAAUUACAACAUCGAUUCCAUCAAAGCUAGUGGCGAACCCCUCACGCCUAAAAACAUUGCGAGCAAGUUCGUUCGUCAGUGCGGAGUUUUUGUGAAGGACCAACUCCCGAUCUCCAUUCAAGAAUGGAAAGAGCCAAAAACAAAACGCCCAGAUGUUACUUGGGUCGACGACAGAGCAAAACAAAAGCUUUGGGAAUCUCUGAUGGAACAUUUCACCCUACCAGAUUAUUUCACCGAUGCAGAUGUGCAGAAAGUCAAGGACGCUGCUCUUAAGAAGAUGGCAAUUGCAUUCAACACCCACAAGAAAACUGUAUGGGCCAACUACCUCGCUGCAGAAAGGAAGACUCCAGAAUUCAAGGGAACACUGGAGAAGCAAAGAGAACACUGGCCCGCUUUCGUGAAAUUCAAGGAAUCAGAAUUAUCUAAGGAACGGUCGAGAAAAAACAAGGCCAAUGCCGCAAAAAAGACGCAGUUCCAUAGGCUGGGUCCAGGUGGCUACGCGGUGGCAAUGACUAAGUGGGAUAAGUCUAAGCAAGAGAUGGAGGAUGCAGGGGUCACUCCGGUUACUAGGAGCUGGCCCCCCAGGUGCAGAACUUGGUUCUAUGCGCAUGGGGGGGGGCGUUGGACCCGAAGACGGGCCUGGUUUCGAAGAAGGCAAGUCUAAACGGAGCAGAACAAAAGUUACUUGACGCAAUAGAAGAUGCUCGAAAGGGGGUGUUCACGCCCAACAGAGAGAACAACGAGCUUACGCGCGCCCUGGGAAAUCCUGAACACCCGGGAAGAACACGAGGCAAUGGCAUUAUUCCCUAGUAUGAGGGCUUUUCGGAAUGGAACGACGACUACAGGACCCGUGCAAGAAAGAAGAUGGAGGAGGAGAAGAAGAGGAGGCUGGAGGAGGAGCAGAGGAAGCAGGACGCGGAACGCCUUCAAGGCCUAGAAGCAAGGCACGCGGACUUGGCACUCAAAUUCCAGCAGCAGCAGCAGCAGCAGAUCGACUCACUUAGCCAGGAAAGGGGGUCUCAGCAGCGGCAGCAGCAAGCGGAUGAUCAUCCAGCAUUGGAUAGCACCGUCCCAUCCAUGCCGAGAAGCAGCGUUGGUUCCGCCCCGGGCGACGCACUGCUGGAUACAUACCCUGUGGAUGACAUCAUAGAGAACACUAACUGUGAGCUACACUUCAAAAUGAAGAACAUAUCCAUGAAGGUGGCGAACGCCGUUGCUUUUACAAUUACCCCCGAAGCAACCUUCCAUUGCGCCCCGAUUCCAGCGGGCUAUGCUCGUGUCUUGGUUGAUGAGGUGGUGGGCCCAUAUUCGGGGCUAGAGCUUGACAUUCCUGGAGGUGACGACGAGCAAACACUGGGGGAGGCCAUACAUCGUUUCAUCCUAUGGAAAAAGGAUUGCAUCAUCUUUCGAAGUCCACCGACACCGCGUCUGCCGACUCCUCCUUGAAGUCCGCCACCGUGUCAGCAGACUCCCGCUCCUCCAAGUCCACGAACGCGUGAGCAGACUCCUGCUUCAAAUCCGGCACAGCGUCAGGCCACUCCUCCUGUUUCAAGUCUGACACCGUGUCAGGCCACACCUCCUACUUCAAGUCCGGCACAGCGUCAGGCCACACCUCCUGCUUCAAGCCCGACACCGUGUCAGGCCACACCUCCUGCUUCAAGUCCGGCACAGCGUCAGGCCACUCCUCCUGCUCCAACUAAGCCACGUCAGCCGUCUCCGCCGCCUAAGCAAUCGCAGAAGAGACACGCCGCAGCUAUGGUACGUAGCGGUACGAGUCGAGGUAGUACAGAAAGUACAGGCGGAGACAAGCGAUAUAAAUAUGGUCCAAGCAGCCUCGCUCCUCUUCCUCAGAGGCCUUACGACAUGACCGAGGAGCAAAAUGAUGCAAUAGUGCGGGCCGAAGUAGACGCUCAUUUUCGACCGAAACCGGCAACGCCGCCGAGGGAGAAAGUGCCUGAGGAAAAGAUUGACCACUUCAUUCGUAUGGCUAGACCACCAGCUCCCAAGCCUGUUGACUCAGACUAUGAGCGCCAAAUCAGGAAGGCACAUCGAGCACGACUACAGAAAGAAGCGAGCUCGAGCUCGAUCCAACAAGCAGCUGUCAAAAAAAUGCGGGAAAACCGUUCCCCAGCUGGGAGAACAGGCNNNNNNNNNNNNNNNNNNNNNNNNNNNNNNNNNNNNNNNNNNNNNNNNNNNNNNNNNNNNNNNNNNNNNNNNNNNNNNNNNNNNNNNNNNNNNNNNNNNNNNNNNNNNNNNNNNNNNNNNNNNNNNNNNNNNNNNNNNNNNNNNNNNNNNNNNNNNNNNNNNNNNNNNNNNNNNNNNNNNNNNNNNNNNNNNNNNNNNNNNNNNNNNNNNNNNNNNNNNNNNNNNNNNNNNNNNNNNNNNAACAACACAUGAGAGUAUGCGCGCCCAAUAUUAUUGUGGGCAAACCGUUUACGUUUCCGAGCUGGGCGAUGUGGUAAUAACUGAGGAGCAUAUAAUGCAGGCUGAAAUGCUCAAGAUCAUUGUUGGACAACUCCUCGAUAUCGAGCCCAUGCCUCCGCUUAGAGAGGAGGAAAUAAAACGGAAAUAUGUCCGCGGCGAACCUUUGGUCGAGCCCGAGGAGGUCAAGAACCUCCCAACGAGAAUGUAUGAAUUGCAUGAUUGGUACAUGAAAAUUACCAAGAUUUCCAAUCGAGAGUCCCUCAUGGUGCAAGUCGAGGAAGAUCAUUACUUCCAUAAGAAAGCUCUGGCCGUUGAGUAUUCAGAACUAUUUCAGUUAUUCAAUCAAGAUGCACUCGACAAAUCUAUCGUCAGUUGCUAUUGUCUGUAAGUGAUUUCUUUCUGUAAUUUAAGUCUCAAGCUAGCUCUAGUGCUCAUUGAUUGAUCAUUAAUUACCUGUAAUUAUAUAUCCUCACUAUAUAUUCUUUUCUGUGGUAUUAUGCAUGAUGAAGAUGUAUUAAUUUUCUUUGCCGGCGGGUAGGGCUUGGGCAAAGUACAUCAAGGUGACUCCAGAAAAAUGGCGACAAAAGCUAUGUUGGUAUCGACCCAAGGUAAGUAAUUAAGUAGUACUAGCUAGCUAGCUACCAUCUCUUUAAUUCUUGUUUCAAUACCAUUAAUUAAUUAACAUGCUUGAUUAAUUAUUAUCUGAUUAAAUUCUAUUGUCGUAAAGGCCCUGAAGCAGGUGCCGGGGACUGAAGUGUGUGCAUACUAUGUUUGCGAGAACAUUCGCAUGAUGGCGUCCGAAAGGAGCAGAUCUGAUAGACAGGACUGGGUACGUUUGCCAGAACGCUAUUCACAAAUCUUACAUGAUUGUCGAUAUCUAGUCACACAACUAAUACACAUGCAUAUUGAUCUCCUUCUUAACAGUUCAAAGAGGUGCGGGACAAGCUCCUAUCAGAGGAGCGCAUACGAGCACUUCAAAAGAAAAUAGCGGGAUUUUUGCUCGACCAGGUCAUAGAUCCCAAAGGAGAAUACUAUUACCCGCUACCGCCCCAUGAACCACUUGUCAUCGUGCUCCGAAGGCACCAAGGCAACAUGUAGGAGAAAUUGUAUAUAUAUACAUGUGUAUGUGUGAAUAAUUAAUGGUGGUUGUGAGACAUUCGAUUAUAUAUAUAUGAUCAGUUCUACGAGAAAAUCUAUUUAUAUAUAUGCAUGACGUGUACAAUAUGUAGUAUCGUAAAAUACCAGCAAACAAAAAAGAAUUAAAUGAAAAACACAAAAUUAAUGGAAAAUAAAAAUUAAAACCAAAACCCUCCAAACAUUUAGUACCGGUUGGUGCCAUGUGGUGGCACUUUAGCGCCGGUUCGUGCCGAACCGGUACUGGGGGGGGGCUUUAGUCUCCACUCCAUAGUGACGGUUGCAGAACCGGCACUAAAGGCCCUUACGAACCGAUGAUAAAGGCCUGUUCUGCAAUAGUGCCAGGAGGCCCAUGUUUUGUUGUUGGUCUCGUCCCGGUCAAGCUGCCAUUUCCUCCUUUAACCUCAUUUUCAGAGGUCCCGCGGCAGAGAAUGGAUUGAUGUGAGCUCGAUAUCCAAUGUUGCCAACCCUUAUUCGGUUUGACCCCCAGUCUGUGGUCAUCAUCGAUGCAUGUGCUUCAACAUCUUCGAUGGCACUAGGGGACUCUUCCUCGUCCAUUCCAAUUGGAGGUGUCGGUUAGCUCUUUUCAACAUUGAUGAUAGGUUCGAGACAGGUUGUGCCCAAUGGGGAUUUCCCCAGUCAUCAUGUUGGAUGCGUUUGUUUUUGUUUCUUCUCCAUGUGCCCAUGUACAUGUUCCAUUGGUCCUUUCUUCAUCUAUAUAUAAUUUAUUGCGGGCUCAUCUUCAUAAAUCUUGGAAGACAAUGCUGAGACUUUUUUCCAUGAAAAAUCCUUACUUAAAGGAUACUUGUCUUGUAAAAAUAGUGGAUGAACAGCACAUGACGUGUACUGUAUGUCUUGGAAGAAUGCUGAACAUUAUUUAUUAAUAUAGAUAUGUUGGAUGAAACAAAAUAAACAAAAAGGUUUCGUGGUGUAGUUGGUUAUCACGUCAGUCUAACACACUGAAGGUCUCCUGUUCGAAGCCAUCAAUUUUUUUUCUUUUUUUUCUCGCAUUUUCCAAUGAGUAAAAAAAAGAAAAAAAAUAUUUGGCCCAUAAAGGUCUCGAACCUGUGACCUUCGCGUUAUUAGCACGACGCUCUAACCAGCUGAGCUAAUAGGCCUCUUGGUUUGCAAUAGUUUUUGAGGUAUAUAUUCGAACAGAAUAAGACUCGUACCACUCCUCUUGUGGUGAGAUGGAAAGAAUAUGAUCACUGUGGCCUUUUUUGGAUGUUAAGCUGAUCUUAUGAAUCAUAAUAAAAAACCCAUCUCUGCUCGUUAGAGCCAUCUGCAAAAUGCAGCAACAGAUCUUGGUCCUUGGCUAUCUAGAUUCCGAUUUAACUGUCCACGUUUGUAAUUAUUUGUAGCUGUUGGAGCCUUUCUGUCAUUGUUUCUGUGAUGAGAUGGGUACCUAAACCAUCUUGCAACAGCUACAUAGUGAUAAAACCAUACGUGCAAGCGGGCAAGUAGUGACAGCUAUGCCAAAUUUGCAAAUUCGACUAUGCUAUCUCUAUCUGUGCCAUAUUUUGCAAUAGCCACAUAGUGAUAAAGCCAUAUGUGCAUAGUUUCCAUUACUGCGGGCAGGUAAUACCCACUAUAAGUGGUUGAAGAGAAAAUAAUCACUCUUGACUUCUGCAUCACAGGAUGCUCAUAACCAAAUUAAUUAUAUCUUUUUGGGAGUGAGGGCACUAUCUCCUGGAAGAAGAACUAUGUUUUUCGCGGUAUCCCUCCCUUCUCUAUUCCUGGAUAGGAAAAUAACGGCUAUCAUGAAGCAUCCAAGAGGCAUACGAAAUACUAGACUUCGGCACCCACCCAGCCCCCGCGUCGCCCGCUCGGGCGACUCGGGCGGCAACUAGGGUUUCGAGCGCCGCCACCUACAUCUCCUUCCCCCCUCCUCGCCGCUACCCGAGGAGGUCGCCGGGCAAGCCCGCGCGACCACCGGUGACGGUGGCGGCGAGGCCUUCGUCGCUCCGUCCGCGGAGAUCUGGAUCCACGGGGCGGCGGCCCCUGCCGAUGCGGCGCCGCCGUUCACGCCCAGGACGGUGUGCGCAGGGGCUCUGACCGGCGUCCCCGACCGCUCGGGUGGUGGGGCGUCGGCGCUUGCGGCAGCAGCGUGGGGGCCUUCUUCCUCGCCAGAUCUAGAGGUCUGCUGCUCCUUCCUUCCCGCUCCUUCCCCUUUGCGCUUGAUGCCGGCGGCUGCUGCUGGAUCCGGUGCUCUUGGGGAUGGUGGUGCAGAUUGGGACCGGGGGAAACCCUAGGCCGGCUGGUUCGGCUCGACAGCGGCGUCGGCUUCGGGCUACGCAUCCUUCUUGGAGGCGGUGUCGUGGUCCCUCUUCUUGCCACCUCCGGUCCUCUCCCGGGUGAAAACCCAAAAUCCGGCCUGGAUUGGGCAGCGGUGGCGCCAUGGGUGUCAUCCCCUCCUUGGAGGCGUUGCCUGGGGAGCUAGGAUUCGGGUGUGGGUUGCUGAAGGUGGGGGCUUUGGCCGUAGGCGGGUGUAGUGCUGAGGCGCUCUCCCGUUGCCUUGCUGUGCAGAGUGCCCCUUGUAUCUUUAGGGCGUUUCAUGUUGUUGGUGUUCGCGACGGAGGAGCGGCGUGGCAUCUGGCACGUCGACAACGGCGUGUCUCAGCGGCAUGGAGCCGUGGGGUCUCGCCGGUGGGCGUGUGAUGAUGGACGACCGCAGGAUGGUGGUGUUGUCUGGCGUCGUGGUGGCGUCGACGGCUGCUAGACCGGGCAAGGUAGAUGCAACAGUACAAUACUGAAGAUGGAUUGGUGGCAGGUGGCUGCGGCGGCCUCAUACCCGGCAGGCGUUCUGGUUGAGGAGUGCGCCGGACUGGUGGGUGCCCCAUUCCCGGCUGGCGUCCUGGAUGGGACAUCAGGUCUUAGAUGUUAGGUUUGGCUGCGAGGUCUGUUUGGUAUUAGGCCCAGACUAUCGGCAUCCUUUCAUCAGUGGAUAGGAGUAGCGACAGAUGUUGCCUAGACGGUGGCUUUAGUGUGACUGUUGUAUGACUUUGUAAGGUCUUACAGAUGCAUCGUCUAGAUGUAGAGGCCGGGGGUCCUCCUUCUUUUCUAAAAAUAAUAAUAUGAAAUACUAGUCACCUCACUUCCCUCAUCAUCAUGUUAAUCUUUGGUUUGGGACGUUUAAAGCCAUGGACGUAUGCACGGGGAUAAAUGUUGUAUAUCCAUCUUAUGAUGAGAAGAAGAAAAAGUUAAGAAGAGGAUGAAUCAGAAGAAAAAAUCAUCUGAAGGAGCAAGUAGGGAAACCAUCUUUGCUCGUAGGAGCCAUCUACAAAAUACAACAAUACAUCUUCGUCCUUGUCCAGCUUCCCAGCCAGGAUCGUCAUAUGAUGUUUGUCCAUCCAUUGAUCCCCGUCGUCGUUAGUCUCUUAUCUUAGUUAAAGAAGCAGGGCGAGGCCUGGUUCGGUUUUCAUGCCUGCCUGGUCCUCGAGACCUGAAAGUCAAGUUCAGAUCUGUUACAUUUUUUUUUCUAGUAGUAGAAAAAUUGAAGGAAAAAGAAUUGGGGCGAGAGAGGCUCGAACUCUCGACCUCAGGAUCACUCGCAUAAUUUAGCUAUGAGACCUACGCGCUAGCCAACUGCGCCACCGCCCCGUUAUGCUUCCUUUCAAAUCAAAAUUUUAAUUAAGUAGAGCUUGCGCUAAUGGGUUUUAUCAUAUCGAAUUAAUCCGACGGCCAGUAGCAAUCGCAUGCCAAGCAGCUCGAGGCCGGUAGCUUACACGAAAAACUUGUGAUCCACUUUGAUUAUUAAUUAAAAAAGAGGACAUUAUAUGUUUCCUAAAAAUAAAAUCAUAUGGUCAUGUUUAAUGCUUUUUCUCGGCGAAUGUCACUCAGUUAGCUGUAUUGCUUAUACAAAAGCAUCACAUCGUUUACAAAACAAAUGAUGUAUCUCAUUUGAGGGGUCAUCGCCCUAGUUACAUGAAAUAUUGUUGUGAACAUGGACGUAAUUUCUAUUACUUGUGGUGUUCUUUGUACUGCAUUUAGAGUUGAUGAAUAGCUCACAAGUUUUUUCUGGCAAAAGAAUAACGUCUUAGCUAGCUCGCGAACAACAUGGUUGGCAUCUCUUUGGUAGUUUUCAUAAGAUAUCUCUACAAACUCCAUCGAUAAAAUUCUGCAGUUGUGAACAAUUGCUGCUAAGGACAUAGCCCCUCCCAUCUGCAUGGGUGGUGUUUCGCGUCGGAGGAGCGGCGUGGCACCUGGCACGUCGAUAACGGCGGGUCUCAGCAGCAUGGAGCAGUGGGGUCUCGCCGGUGGGCGUGUGAUGAUGGACGAGCGCAUGAUGGUGGCGUUGUCUGGCGUCGUGGUGGCGUCGACGGAAGCUAGACCGGCAAGGUAGAUGCAGCAGUACAACACUGAAGAUGGAUUGGUGGCAGGUGGCUGCGGCGGCCUCAUACCCGGCAGGCGUCCUGGUUGAGGAGUGCGCCGGACUGGUGGCACUACUAGGGAAAACCUUAUACACAGAAUCUUAGCAGCAGCGCGGCAUAAAAAGAGGCGCUACUGCUAAUUAGCAGUAGCGAUGUUAGGAAAAGCGCGCUGCUGAUGAAAAUUUAGCAGUAGCGCGUGAUGGAUAAACCGCGCUGCUACAAAAAUGUACCGAAAGUACCCAACAACCUAAGUUUACCAGCAGCACGGUGGCAUGAUGCGCGCUACUGCUAAAGCAAUAGUAGCAGCGCGCUUUUUAGUCACGUCGCUGCUGCUAAUUUCGAAAUUGUCCACACGGUUGGCCCGUUUAGCAGUAGCGCGUGUGAGAAAAGCGCGCUACUGCUACACCCUUAGCAGUAGCGCGCUUUUCCACCCGCGCUACUGCUAAGGCGCAGUACCCCACACCUUUCCCCACCCGCCCUCCCCUCCCCCAUCUCCUCUCCUCCCUUUCCCCUACCUCCCACAUCCUCCCUCUCUCACUCUUCUUCUUCCUCAAGACUUCUCCCCCCCAUUACUCUCCCUCUUCUACCUACCUUUCUCUCUCUUCANNNNNNNNNNNNNNNNNNNNNNNNNNNNNNNNNNNNNNNNNNNNNNNNNNNNNNNNNNNNNNNNNNNNNNNNNNNNNNNNNNNNNNNNNNNNNNNNNNNNNNNNNNNNNNNNNNNNNNNNNNNNNNNNNNNNNNNNNNNNNNNNNNNNNNNNNNNNNNNNNNNNNNNNNNNNNNNNNNNNNNNNNNNNNNNNNNNNNNNNNNNNNNNNNNNNNNNNNNNNNNNNNNNNNNNNNNNNNNNNNNNNNNNNNNNNNNNNNNNNNAUUAAUGCAUCUCCUUUAUCUUUUUCCUUCCCCCUCCACUAGUUGAAGUUGUCUCCUCCCAAAUUAGCUAGCUAGGUAGAUGUAGCAUUUAGUCAAGUGACCUAUUUUCCCCCUAAUUAGAUCUAUCUUUGUCAAGAAGAGCUUUGUGCACUUUUGAUCUCCCUACAUCAUCAUCUCCAUCGUGUGCUCGAUCUCGAGAUAGAGGUAAUUAAAAUUUCAUGCUUUUGCAAAUGGAAAUAUGUGUAUGUGUGUGUGAUAUGAUAAUUGGGCAAUAUGAUGGAAAUUGUGUGUGUGGCAUGAGUUGACGCCUUGUGCUUUUGAGUUGCCUAUGUUUUGCCGAAAUGACGAUUUAUUUCUGUUUCGGCGAAUUCCAGGCAAACUCUAGAUCUAUAUGUGUCCUAUUUUUAGGGAAGGUCAUGCCGAAUUUUUGUAUGACUUUGAUACAUGCACGCAUUUUUAUAAUCAAUUUGUUUAUUAUUACCGUGCAGACGUUCAUGAUGGUCAGUGGAACGAUGGUGGACAGGUGGUUGCGGUCGGCGGUGCAGGACAUGAAAGAAAAUAACCUGACAGAGGUUUUAUGUCCGUGUCGAAAAUGCAAAGGAAUAGUUUGGCUCGACCCCUAUGACGAUGUCGUGUCGAAGCGCACCUGCUCAUGACUGGUUUCAUGGAUGGCUAUACUCGGUGGAUAAUCGAAGAUGAGGAUGACGAUGUUGAGGACGCCGACGGGGCAGGCAAUGAUGACACGGGGCAAGACGAAGAGAUGAUCGAUAAUGGCGGCGGGGAAGAGGCCGGACAUGGCGGCGGAGAAGGGGCCGGACAUGGCGGAGGAGAAGGGGCCAGACAUGGCGGCGGAGAGAAUGACGUGGACUCCACGCAGCAGAAUUCGUCGGUACUAAGUUCAAUCGUGCGGGACCCUCAUGUUCAAGCACUGCUUCGCAAGGAGACGAGUACUGAGAGAGCUGCUUCUAGAGAGGAGGCUAAGCUGGAGCAACUGGUGGUAAACUCAAACACUCCAUUGUAUGAUGGUUGCAAUCCUGAGGUGACCCGCUUGAGUUUCACGCUCCAACUCCUGAAGACGAAGGCUAAAAACAAAUGAACCGACACUAGCCUGGAUGAGCAUAUCAAGUGCCUAAAGGAUGUUCUUCCCGCGGGGAAUCUAUGUCCUACUAGUAUUGAUGAGGCCAAGAAGAUCGUGUGCCCUCUUGAUCUACCGCACGUUAGAUACCAUGCAUGCAUCAAUGAUUGCAUAAUUUAUCGGAAGGAGCACGCGGAAAAAACAAGCUAUCCAGUGUGCAAUGCUUCUCGAUACAAGAAGGCCGGGAAGAAAUGUCCCCAGAAAGUUGUAUGGUACUUACCGAUCACUCCCCGUCUCCAGCGGUAUUUUGUAGAUCCCAAGGAAGCAAAGCUAAUGCGCUGGCACGCGGAGAGGAAGAAGCCCGAGGAUGGAGAUGAUCCGAAGCUGAGACACAUCAAGGAUGGAAGCCAGUGGAGAGCGUUGAACAACUUCUAUCGGUAUUUCGAAUGUGAUGCAAGGAACAUCGUGCUUCCGUUUGGCAUCCAGAACACCAACCAUAGCACAUGGCCCGUGUUUGUAUGGAUGUACAACCUCCCCCCUGGUUGUGCAUGAAGUCGAAGUACAUUCACAUGAGCAUGCUUAUUCAAGGGCCGAAACAACCAGGAAAUAAUAUUAAUUUGUAUCUGGGGCUACUUCAAGAGGAGUUAGACACGUUAUGGAAAACACCGGCCAAGACAUGAGACGCCAGCAAAGGCGAGUAUUUCUACAUGAGAGCUGCGCUGAUCACGACGGUGCACGACUGUCUCGGUUACGGAUAUGUCGCAGGCCAGGUGUGCCAUGGAUAUUGCGGAUACACGCGGUGCAUGGAUGAUACGACGUCUCAGCAGCUAACGUCAAGGAAAGAUGGCGGGUCUGGAAAAAUCGUGUACAUGGGGCAUCGAAGAUGGCUCGAAUAGGACGACCCGUGGAGAAACCGUGGAGAACUACUCAAUGGUCACGCUGAGCAUCGAGGACCUCCACCUAAGCGGAGCGGUGCCAAAAUCGAUGAGCUGUUGAAAAACUGGAAGGAGUGCCCCGCGCCGGGAAAGACGAUGAAAAAGGCGCCGGAGCCGCUGCUGAAGGUAUGGAAGACGAGGUCUAUGUUCUGGGACUUGGAGUACUGGCACAAACUCGAUACACCUCAUUGCCUUGAUCAAAUGCAUAUAUGUAAGAAUGUCCUUGAGAGCUUGCUCGCGACACUAAUGAACAUGCCGGAUAAGACCAAGGAUGGGCCGAAGGCAAGAAAAGACUUGCAAGAUUUGAAAAUCAGGGAAGAUCUGCACAUGCCGCCCCGUAAAAUGUCAGACGAGACAGAGACGGAGACAGAGGCACGGGAGAAGAAGGGCAAGAAAAUAAAGAAAGAGGAUUAUUGCCCCCCUUCUUGCUUCACCUUAAGUCAGGCUGAGAUCGGUCAAUUCUUUAAGUGCCUUACCGGAGUCAAAGUUAGUUCCGGUUACUAUGGCAAGAUAAGCAGAUAUCUAGACACGGACAAGAAAAGGUUCAGCGGGAUGAAGUCCCAUGACUGUCAUGUGAUGAUGACGCAGAUACUACCUGUUGCCCUUAGAGGGAUAAUGGACAAGCACGUCCGUGACACGCUUAUUGGUCUCUGCAACUUUUUCAACGUCAUCUCUCGAAAAUCGAUCAGUCUGAAGCAGCUCCAAAGGCUACAGGAAGAGAUUGUUGUGAUACUGAAUGAGCUUGAGAUGUACUUCCCGCCCGCGUUCUUUGACGUGAUGGUGCAUCUGUGUGUCCAUAUUGUGGACGACAUAAUAGACUUGGGGCCGUCAUUUCUGCACAACAUGAUGCCGUUUGAGAGGAUGAAUGGGAUCAUCAAAGGAUUCGUUCGUAACAUGUCCUGUCCGGAUGGAAGCAUCGUCCAGGGCUAUCUGAUACAAGAGUGCAUCUCUUUCUGCGAGAAUUUUCUAUAUGGCGCAGACCUGCAGCCGCCUGGUGUUAGUGUUGGUUUGCCCGUUAACAAGAACGAUGGGAGGCUCGAAGGAGAAGGUCACUCCAACGGUCGCAGGGAACUGCACGUGUGCUACCUCUUGAGCACUGUGUUGGUUUUCCCUUGAAGAGGAAAGGGUGAUGCAGUAAAGCAGCGUAAGUAUUUCCCUCAGUUUUUGAGAACCAAGGUAUCAAUCCAGUAGGAGGCCACGCGCGAGUCCCUCGCACCUACACAAACAAACAAGAACCUCGCAACCAACGCGAUAAAGGGGUUGUUAAUCCCUUCACGGUCACUUACGAGAGUGAGAUCUGAUAGAGAUGAUAAGAUAAUAUUUUUUGGUAUUUUUAUGAUAAAGAGUAAAAGUAAAUAAUGGAAAGAUGAACGGAAAUAGAAAUAGCUUGUUGACGGAAGAUUAAUAUGAUGGAAAAUAGACCCGGGGGCCAUAGGUUUCACUAGUGGCUUCUCUCGAGAGCAUAAGUAUUGCGAUGGGUAAACAAAUUACUGUCGAGCAAUUGAUAGAAUUGAGCAUAGUUAUGAGAAUAUCUAGGUAUGAUCAUGUAUAUAGGCAUCACGUCCGCGACAAGUAGACCGACUCCUGCCUGCAUCUACUACUAUUACUCCACACAUCGACCGCUAUCCAGCAUGCAUCUAGAGUAUUAAGUUCAUGAAGAACAGAGUAACGCAUUAAGAAAGAUGACAUGAUGUAGAGGGAUAAACUCAUGCAAUAUGAUAUAAACCCCAUCUUUUUAUCCUCGAUGGCAACAAUACAAUACGUGCCUUGCUGCCCCUACUGUCACUGGGAAAGGACACCGCAAGAUUGAACCCAAAGCUAAGCACUUCUCCCAUUGCAAGAAAGAUCAAUCUAGUAGGCCAAACCAAACUGAUAAUUCGAAGAGACUUGCAAAGAUAACCAAUCAUACAUAAAAGAAUUAAGAGGAGAUUCAAAUAUUGUUCAUCGAUAAUCUUGAUCAUAAACCCACAAUUCAUCGGAUCUCGACAAACACACCGCAAAAGAAGAUUACAUCGAAUAGAUCUCCACAAGAGAGGGGGAGAACAUUGUAUUGAGAUCCAAAAAGAGAGAAGAAGCCAUCUAGCUAAUAACUAUGGACCCGAAGGUCUGAGGUAAACUACUCACACUUCAUCGGAGAGGCCUUGGAUAUGAUGUAUAGGCCCUCCGUGAUCGAUGCCCCCUCCGGCGGAGCUCCGGAAAAGGCCCCAAGAUGGGAUCUCAUGGGUACAGAAAGUUGCGGCGGUGGAAAUAGGGUUUUGGCUCCGUCUCUGGUAGUUUGGGAGUACGUAGGUAUAUGUAGGAGGAAGAAGUACGUCGGUGGAGCAACGUGGGGCCCACGAGGGUGGAGGGCGCACCCAGGGGUAGGCGCGCCCCCUACCUCGUGCCCUCCUGGUUGAUGUCUUGACGUAGGGUCCAAGUCCUCUGGAUCACGUUCGUUCCGAAAAUCACGUUCCCGAAGGUUUCAUUCCGUUUGGACUCCGUUUAAUAUUCUUUUUCUGCGAAACUCUAAAAUAGGCAAAAAAAACAGCAAUUCUGGGCUGGGCCUCCGGUUAAUAGGUUAGUCCCAAAAAUAAUAUAGAAGUGUAUAAUAAAGCCCAAUAAUUUCCAAAACAGAAUAUAAUAUAGCAUGGAACAAUCAAAAAUUAUAGAUACAUUGGAGACGUAUCAAGCAUCCCCAAGCUUAAUUCCUGCUCGUCCUCGAGUAGGUAAAUGAUAAAAACAGAAUUUUUAAUGUCGAAUGGUCCUUAGCAUAAUUUCAAUGUAAUUCUUCUUAUUGUGGCACGAAUGUUCAGAUUUAAUAUGAUUCAAGAUAAAAGUUUAAUGUUGACAUAACAACAAUAAUACUUCAAGCAUGCUAACCAAGCAAUUAUGUCUUAUCAAAAUAACAUAGCCAAAGCAAGUUAUCCCUACAAAAUCAUAUAGUCUGACUAUGCUCCAUCUUCCCCACACAAAAUAUUCAUAUCAUGUACAACCCCGGUUUUAGCCAAGCAAUUGGUUCAUACCUUUUAACGCGCUUCAGCCUUUUCAACUCUUACGCAAUACAUGAGCGCAAGCCAUGGAUAUAGCACUAUGGUGGAGUAAGGUAUAAUGGUAAGGGUUAUGUGGGAAGACAAAAAAGGAGAAAGUCUCACAUCAACGAGGCUAAUCAACGGGCUAUGGAGAUGCCCAUCAAUUGAUGUUAAUGCAAGGAGUAGGGAUUGCCAUGCAACGGAUGCACUAGAGCUAUAAGUGUAUGAAAGAUCAAACAAAAGAAACUAAGUGGGUGUGCAUCCAACUUGCUUGCUCACGAAGACCUCGGGCAUUUCGAGGAAGCCCAUCAUUGGAAUAUACAAGCCAAGUUCUAUAAUGAAAUUUCCCACUAGUAUAUGAAAGCAACAAAAUGAGAGACUCUCUAUCAUGAAGAUCACGGUGCUACUUUGAAGAACAAGUGUGGUAAAAGGAUAGUAACAUUGUCCCUUCUCUCUUUUUCUCUCAUUUUUUUUAUUUGGGCCUUUUCUCUUUUUUUAUGGCCUCUUUUUUUUAGUCCGGAGUCUCAUCCCGACUUGUGGGGGAAUCAUAGUCUCCAUCAUCCUUUUCUCACUUGGGAAAAUGCUCUAAUAAUGAUGAUCAUCACACUUUUAUUUACUUACAACUCAUGAAUUACAACUCAAUACUUAGAACAAAAUAUGACUCUAUGUGGAUGCCUCCGGCGGUGUACCGGGAUAAUGAAUCAAGAGCGACAUGUAUGAAAGAAUUAUGAAUGGUGGCUUUGCCACAAAUACAAUGUCAACUACAUGAUCAUGCAAAGCAAUAUGACAAUGAUGGAGCGUGUCAUGAUAAACGAAACGAUGGAAAGUUACAUGGCAAUAUAUCUCGGAAUGGCUAUGGAAAUGCCAUAAUAGGUAGGUAUGGUGGCUGUUUUGAGGAUGAUAUAAGGAGGUUCAUGUGUGAUAGAGCGUAUCAUAUCACGGGGUUUGGAUGCACCGGCGAAGUUUGCACCAACUCUCAAAGUGAGAAAGGGCAAUGCACGGUACCGAAGAGGCUAGAAAAUUGCGGAAAGGUAAGUGUGCGUAUAAUCCAUGGACUCACAUUAGUCAUAAAGAACUCAUAUACUUAUUGCAAAACUUUAUUAGCCCUCGAAGCAAAGUACUACUACGCAUGCUCCUAGGGGAAGGGUUGGUAGGAGUUAACCAUCGCGGGAUCCCGACCGCUACAAAAAGGAUGACAAUCAACAAAUACCUCAUGCUCCGACUUCGUUACAUAACGGUUCACCAUCCGUGCAUGCUACGGGAAUCACAAACUCCAACACAAGUAUUUUUCAAUUCCACAAUUACUCAACUAGCACAACUAUGAUAUUACCACCUUUAUAUCUCAAAACAAUUAUCUAGUAUCAAAUUUUCUCAUGAUAUUAUAAUUAAAGAAAAUUGCCAUGCUAUUUCAAGACUCUCAAAAAUAAUAUAAGUGAAGCAUGAGAGAUCAAUAGUUUCUAUAAAACAAGUCUACCGCCGUGCUCUAAAAGAUAUAAGUGAAGUACUAGAGCAAAAACUAUAUAGCUCAAUAAAUAUAAGUGAAGCACAUAGAGUAUUCUAACAAUUUCCAAUUCAUGUGUGUCUCUCUCAAAAGGUGUGUACAGCAAGGAUGAAUGUGGUAAACUAAAAAGCAAAGACUCAAAUCAUACAAGACGCUCCAAGCAAAACACAUAUCAUGUGGCGAAUAAAAAUAUAGCUCCAAGUAAAGUUACCGAUAGACAAAGGCGAAAGAGGGGAUGCCUUCCGGGGCAUCCCCAAGCUUUGGCUUUUAGGUGUCCUUAGAUUAUCUUGGGAUGCCAUGGGCAUCCCCAAGCUUAGGCUCUUGCCACUCCUUGUUCCAUAAUCCAUCAAAUCUUUUACCCAAAACUUGAAAACUUCACAACACAAAACUUAGCAGAAAAUCUCGUGAGCUCCGUUAGCGAAAGAAAACAAAACACUACUUCAAGGUACUGUAAUGAACUCAUUAUUUAUUUAUAUUGGUGUUAAACCUACUGUAUUCCAACUUCUCUAUGGUUUAUAAACUAUUUUACUAGCCAUAGAUUCAUCAAAAUAAGCAAACAACACACGAAAAACAGAAUCUGUCAAAAACAGAACAGUCUGUAGUAAUCUGUAACUAACGCAAACUUCUGGAACGUGAAAAAUUCCUCCAAAUUAGGAAGUUUUAGAUAAUUUGUUUAUUGAUCUACAGCAAAAAGAAUCAACUGAAAAGAACGUUCCUGUGAUUUAUGAAAACUAAUCUCGUGCGCGCAAAGUUUCUGUUUUCUGCAGCAGAAUCAAAUAACUAUUACCGUAGGUUAUCCUAACGGUUUUACUUGGCACAAACACUAAUUAAAACGAAUCUAACCAGAGGCUAGACAUAUUAUUUAUUCCUAAACAUAAGCAAAAAGCAAAAAACUAAAAUAAAAUUGGGUUGCCUCCCAACAAGCGCUAUCGUUUAACGCCCCUAGCUAGGCAUAAAAGCAAGGAUAGAUCUAAGUAUUGCCAUCUUUGGUAGGCAAACCAUAAGUGGAUCUCAUGAUAGAUUCAUAUGGUAAUUUUAUUUUCUUUCUAGGGAAGUGUUCCAUACCUUUCCUUAGCGCAAAUUGGAAUCUAAUAUUUCCUUCCUUCAUAUCAAUAAUUGCACCAAUCGUUCUAAGAAAAGGUCUACCAAGAAUAAUAGGACAUGAAGGAUUGCAAUCUAUAUCAAGAACGAUAAAAUCUACGGGCACAUAAUUCCUAUUUUCAACAAUAAGAACAUCAUUAAUUCUUCCCAUAGGUUUUUUGAUAGUGGAAUCCGCAAGGUGCAAAUUUAAAGAGCAAUCAUCAAGUUCAUGGAAACCUAGCAAAUCACACAAAGUUUUCGAAAUCGUGGAAACACUAGCACCCAAAUUACACAAAGCAUAACACUCAUGAUCUUUGAUUUUAAUUUUAAUAGUAGGUUCCCACUCAUCAUAAAGUUUUCUAGAGAUAGAAACUUCCAAAUCAAGUUUUUCUUCGUAAGAUUGCAUCAAAGCAUCAACGAUAUGUUUAGUAAAAGCCUUAUUUUGACUAUAAGCAUGCGGAGAAUUUAACACGGAUUGCAACAAGGAAAUACAAUAUAUUAAAGAGCAAUUAUCAUAAUUAAAUUCCUUGAAAUCCAAAAUAGUGGGUUCAUUGAGAUCUAAAGUUCUAACUUCUUCAAUCCCACUUCUACCAAAUUUUGCAUCAAGAUCUAAAAACUCCAAAAUUUUGGAACGCCUUCUAGGUAAAGGUGACUCAUCUUCAGUCCCAUCAUUAUCAAGAUUCAUAUUGCAAAACAAAGAUUUAAUAGGGGACACAUCAAUAACUUUCAGAUCUUCAUCUUUAUUCUCAUAGAAAUUAGAAGAACACGCUUUCAUAAAGCAAUCUUUCUUAGCACGCAUUCUAGCGGUUCUUUCUUUGCACUCAUCAAUGGAAAUUCUCAUGGCUUUGAGAGACUCAUUGAUAUCAUGCUUGGGUGGAAUAGAUCUAAGCUCCAAAGAAUCAACAUCAAGAGAAAUUCUAUCAACGUUCCUAGCCAAUUCAUCAACUUUAAGCAAUUUUUCCUCAAGCAAAGCAUUGAAAUUAUUUUGCGAAUUUGUAAACUCCUUAACACUAUUCUCAAAUUCAGAGGGCAUCUUAUUAAAAUUUCCAUAAGAAUUGUUGUAGGAAUUACCAUAAUUAUUAGAGGAAUUACUAGGGAACGGCCUAGGAUUAAAGUUUCCUCUAUACGCGUUGUUACCAAAAUUAUUCCUACCAACAAAAUUCACAUCCAUAGAUUCAUUAUUAUUCUCAAUCAAAGUAGACAAAGGCAUAUCAUUAGGAUCCAAAGAAACACUUUUAGUAGCAAAUAAUUUCAUAAGUUCAUCCAUCUUUCCACUCAAAACAUUAAUUUCUUCUAUCGCAUGCACUUUUUUAUUAGUAGAUCUUUCGGUGUGCCAUUGAGAAUAAUUAACCAUAAUAUUAUCUAGGAGUUUAGUAGCUUCUCCUAAAGUGAUUUCCAUGAAAGUGCCUCCCGCGGCCGAAUCUAAAAGAUUUCUAGAAGCGAAAUUCAAUCCGGCAUAAAAUUUUUGUAUAAUCAUCCACAAAUUUAAAUCAUGAGUAGGGCAAUUACGUAUCAUUAAUUUCAUCCUCUCCCAAGCUUGUGCAACAUGUUCAUGAUCAAGUUGCUUAAAGUUCAUAAUAUCGUUUCUAAGAGAGAUGAUUUUGGCGGGAGGAAAAUACUUAGAGAUAAAAGCAUCUUUGCACUUAUUCCAAGAAUCAAUACUAUUUUUAGGCAAAGACGAAAACCACACUUUAGCACGAUCUCUAAGCGAAAAAGGUAAUAGUUUCAGUUUAACAAUAUCAUUAUCAACAUCCCUCUUCUUUUGCAUGUCACACAAAUCAACAAAGCUAUUUAGAUGGGUAGCGGCAUCUUCACUAGGAAGGCCGGCAAAUUGAUCUUUCAUAACAAGAUUCAACAAAACAUCAUUAAUCUCACAAGAUUCAGCAUCAUUAAGAGGGGCAAUCGGAGUGCUAAGAAAAUCAUUAUUGUUGGUAUUGGUAAAGUCACACAAUUUGGUAUUAUCUUGAGCCAUCGUGACAAGCAAGCAAUCCAACAAGCAAGCAAACAAGAAAAGAGCGAAAGGAGGCGAACGGAAAAGAGAGGGCGAAUAAAACGGCAAGGUUGAAGUGGGGGAGAGGAAAACGAGAGGCAAAUGGCAAAUAAUGUAAUGCGAGGGAGAUGAGUUUGUGAUGGGUACUUGGUAUUGCUUGACUUGUGCGUAGACUCCCCGGCAACGGCGCCAAAAAUCCUUCUUGCUACCUCUUGAGGACCGCGUUGGUUUUCCCUUGAAGAGGAAAGGGUGAUGCAGUAAAGCAGCGUGAGUAUUUCCCUCAGUUUUUGAGAACCAAGGUAUCAAUCCAGUAGGAGGCCACGCGCGAGCCCCUCGCACCUACACAAACAAACAAGAACCUCGCAACCAACGUGAUAAAGGGGUUGUUAAUCCCUUCGCGGUCACUUACGAGAGUGAGAUCUGAUAGAGAUGAUAAGAUAAUAUUUUUGGUGUUUUUAUGAUAAAGAGUAAAAGUAAAUAAUGCAAAGAUAAACGGAAAUAGAAAUAGCUUGUUGACGGAAGAUUAAUAUGAUGGAAAAUAGACCCGGGGGCCAUAGGUUUCACUAGUGGCUUCUCUCGAGAGCAUAAGUAUUGCGAUGGGUAAACAAAUUACUGUCGAGCAAUUGAUAGAAUUGAGCAUAGUUAUGAGAAUAUCUAGGUAUGAUCAUGUAUAUAGGCAUCACGCCCGCGACAAGUAGACCGACUCCUGCCUGCAUCUACUACUAUUACUCCACACAUCGACCGCUAUCCAGCAUGCAUCUAGAGUAUUAAGUUCAUGAAGAACAGAGUAACGCAUUAAGAAAGAUGACAUGAUGUAGAGGGAUAAACUCAUGCAAUAUGAUAUAAACCCCAUCUUUUUAUCCUCGAUGGCAACAAUACAAUACGUGCCUUGCUGCCCCUACUAUCACUGGGAAAGGACACCACAAGGUUGAACCCAAAGCUAAGCACUUCUCCCAUUGCAAGAAAGAUCAAUCUAGUAGGCCAAACCAAACUGAUAAUUCGAAGAGACUUGCAAAGAUAACCAAUCAUACAUAAAAGAAUUAAGAGGAGAUUCAAAUAUUGUUCAUAGAUAAUCUUGAUCAUAAACCCACAAUUCAUCGGAUCUCGACAAACACACCGCAAAAGAAGAUUACAUCGAAUAGAUCUCCACAAGAGAGGGGGAGAACAUUGUAUUGAGAUCCAAAAAGAGAGAAGAAGCCAUCUAGCUAAUAACUAUGGACCUGAAGGUCUGAGGUAAACUACUCACACUUCAUCGGAGAGGCCUUGGAGAUGAUGUAGAGGCCCUCCGUGAUCGAUGCCCCCUCCGGCGGAGCUCCAGAAAAGGCCCCAAGAUGGGAUCUCAUGGGUACAGAAAGUUGCGGCGGUGGAAAUAGGGUUUUGGCUCCAUCUCUGGUAGUUUGGGAGUACGUAGGUAUAUGUAGGAGGAAGAAGUACGUCGGUGGAGCAACGUGGGGCCCACGAGGGUGGAGGGCGCGCCCAGGGGGUAGGCGCACCCCCCUACCUCGUGCCCUCCUGGUUGAUGUCUUGACAUAGGGUCCAAGUCCUCGGGAUCACGUUCGUUCCGAAAAUCACGUUCCCGAAGGUUUCAUUCCGUAUGGACUCCGUUUGAUAUUCUUUUUCUGCGAAACUCUGAAAUAGGCAAAAAAAAACAAUUCUGGGCUGGGCCUCCGGUUAAUAGGUUAGUCCCAAAAAUAAUAUAAAAGUGUAUAAUAAAGCCCAAUAAUGUCCAAAACAGAAUAUAAUAUAGCAUGGAACAAUCAAAAAUUAUAGAUACGUUGAAGACGUAUCAACGUGGCAUACUCAGAUCGACGCAACGACUUUGACAGAGCAAAAUUGGUAGUGCUACAACACCUAGACGAGGUAGAUCCUUUCGUGGCACUGCACAAAGAAAUUAUCGCAAAGAAGUAUCGUGACCGGGGGUAUGCAGGACGGACGCGAAGUUACUAGAGAGCACAACUCCACUUUCCUGCAUUAGUUCAAAGAGCAUAUUAUUGCUAAUCCCCCGGAGGAGGGCUCUAAGGACGGAUUGCUCAUAUACACCUUAGCACAUGGCCCCUCGCCCAACCUCGUAACCUAUCAGGCAUAUGAUAUCAACGGAUACACGUUCUACACGGAGGCCAAAGAUAUGGACAGUGAUGAUCAGAACUCAGGGGUGACGAUGGAAUGCAUGACCGGCAGCGACAACGGCGCAACUGAAAGAUUUUACGGAAGGGUCGAGGAGAUCUGGGAGCUUGACUACACUGGACUGCACAACACGACGAUGUUCCGUGUCAGAUGGGCUAAGAAUGUCGAAAGAGAAAACCGGAAUUUCACUACCAUGACUAUACCCGACGCCAAGAGCGCUACCGUGAACGCUAUCGCAAAAAACGAGCCAUGGGUACACGCUAAGCACGUGACACAAUGCUUCUUCAUAACCGACCCGUGCAAUCCCAGCCGUGUUGUCGUGAGGAGAGGCAAAAGGAACAUCAUUGAAAUGGAUGGAGUCGCCAACGAGGAAGACUACGAUCAGUACGGCAACCCAAUGAGGGAAGAUGACGAUGAUGAUGAAGUAUAUGUCAAAAGAAGAAUCAAUACUACAUUACCUAAGAAAAAUCGUACUCCAUGGAAAAGGCAAAGUCACAAUGAGGGGCUCAAUUAUUCUUCAACGAACAAGAAGGGAAAGAAGCCGACUCAAAAACGAAAAUGUCAACGCUGAGGAACCGUAUGUUAUCGGUCAAAUGAUGUAAUAUAUAUAUAUAUGUUCCUAUUUUGUAUACACACUUAGCCAUUAUUAUGCAUGGGUCCAAUGAUGUAAUAUAUAUGUUCCUAUUUUGUAUACAUAUUUAACCGUCAAAUGAUGCAAUAUAUAUCGCCUUCCCUUCGUUCACUGCUCUCGGGAAAAAAGAAAAGAAAAGUGAGAGAAAAUAAAGGAAAAGAAAAAGUGAAACUGGUUAUAGCAGUAGCGCUUUACUGAAAAAGAGCUACAACUAGUCAAGGUAGCAGUAACGGUUUCCGUAUAAAACCGCUAUAGCUGCCUGUAAUAGUAGUAGCGCAUUUGCUCUAAACGCGCUACUGCUACGUCCACUUAACCCAAAAUCCUCACUCUCUCGGCUUCAUCCCGCCUCUUUUCCUCCCAAAUCCCCACUCUCUCUUCCCCGUCGCACCGCCGGGGCCCUGCCCUCGCCACGCCCCGGCGCUCGCCCCCGACCCCGACCCCGGCCUCGGCUCCGACCCCGGUGCUCGCCCCCGACCCCGACGCGCCACGCCUCCCUCUGCUUCCUUCCCUCCCANNNNNNNNNNNNNNNNNNNNNNNNNNNNNNNNNNNNNNNNNNNNNNNNNNNNNNNNNNNNNNNNNNNNNNNNNNNNNNNNNNNNNNNNNNNNNNNNNNNNNNNNNNNNNNNNNNNNNNNNNNNNNNNNNNNNNNNNNNNNNNNNNNNNNNNNNNNNNNNNNNNNNNNNNNNNNNNNNNNNNNNNNNNNNNNNNNNNNNNNNNNNNNNNNNNNNNNNNNNNNNNNNNNNNNNNNNNNNNNNNNNNNNNNNNNNNNNNNNNNNNNNNNNNNNNNNNNNNNNNNNNNNNNNNNNNNNNNNNNNNNNGGUUAAUUUACUUAGGUUUUAGUUAGGGCAAUAGGUUAAUUAGGUUAUCUAUUUAGUUAUGAAUUUAGCUAGGUUUUAAAAUAGGACAGAAAUUUAGGGUUAAGCAAUUGUAGUUAAAAGAAAAGGCAGCAUUUAAGCAAUUGUCCAAAUCAACAUGCCUUGUUAAAGCAAAUUUAGGUAGGCUGAAUUUAUAUGCAAAUUUGAACUGGACAUGUGAUAUGUGGACAUGUCAUGUUUUGGACAUGUCAUGUUUGGAAUUUGGACAUGUCAUUUGGACAUGUGAUGUUUUGGACAUGUCAUAUUUGGAAAAUGAUGAUUAUGUGCAGGGUAAAUGAUCCGAGUGGCCUAUGUUACGCCGGAAUGUUGAUUCAUUUCCGUUCCGGUGAAUUUCAGGCGCUCGAUAUGUCCAUUUUUUUAGCAAAGGUCAUGCCGAAAUUUUCCGUGAAUUUUGGCAUGAUUUGUGCUAGAUAGUAGGCAUAUCGAGUGCUGGGAGUUGCUGGGAAACGAGAUUCCGGCAAACAUAGAUUUCCUUUUUAUGUCAUUUUUCAUUUUUUUUCAUACUUUUAGAAUUAAACGAGGAGACUUAAUCAUAGGAAACAUGUCGAACAACGAAGAAACUGGGCCUUCUGACCAAGAUGCAGACGAGAUGGAUUAUGAGGGUGAACAAGAGUACCUCGACUAUUUGACUGCUAAGAGAGGUUUGCAGGUCGGCCUCGAUGAUGGUACUGACGCCGACAUCGACACCGACGGCUCCGGCACCGUUGGCGCCGCCGACCGAUGGCGGCGCCGAGACCGGCGGGGAAGGUACCGGCGCCGAUGCUGCUACCGAAAAGAACAAGCCGAAGAAGUAGAGGAUACGAAAACCUAACAAACUAUGGAUUGGACGACUAGUGAUCACAAAGAUGGCACCUGGCAAGUUUGAGCCAUUAGAGCCGGAAGAACCUUGCAAGUGCUAUGGGAACCAAGUAGGAUGCAUCCUACGGGAAUGCGCGAGCAUCAACGACGAUGACUUAAGGAGUAAAGAACAUUUGACGCAGUUGCUCCUGACGAAGUUGCACAAGAGAUUCAAGUUCCCCGACCGGGAUGAUAACAUAGAACAACCGUGGGAUGAUCCGAAGAUGAAAAAUAUUAACAAUCACGCCAUGGGCAUGUUCAGCAAUGAUUUGGCCUCCUGGAAAGGGAGGGUGAAACGAGCUAUUGAGGCUGAGGAACCCCUGUCCAAGAUUCUGGAGGAAAAUCCGACACUUACGGAAGAGGAGUUCAAAAAGUUCAAGGACACUUGCGCUACCGAGGCAGCCAAGGCUAAGGCUGCGAAAUUCAAGAGCCUUCAGCAAAGGAACACGGGGAAGCAUCGCCUCGGAAGCCGUGGCUACCUCGGUAAAAGGCCCAUAUGGGAUAAGGAGGACGCGGAACGUGAAGCCGCGGGUAUCCCAGACCCCUUCACGAAGUUCACCAACCCCUUGGAGCGUGACUUCAUCACGUCCCGCUACAAGUGGGACAAGGAAAAGAAGGUUUUUUACACGGACCAGAUGACGAGGAAAUUGAUUAGACUACUGGUAAUUACUCUUUUACCACCUUACAUUUAGCUCCAUAUCUAGUCGACUACACAUUCCUAAACGGUUCACCCUCCUUCUGCAGGAGAAGCAACACCAGCUUGCAGCCGAAAGCUCUACUUCACCGAUGAGGCCCAAGUGGGACACCCCUCUCAACCAGGCCUUGAACGAACUUAAGGGACUCCCUUUGGGCCAGCGGCCGCAAUAUGGUCGUGUGCACGGCGCUGGAGACGGUGCCACGUGGAAGGUGUUUUACAACGAGGGCCCGGAGGCCAAGAAGCAGAAAAAGAAGUUUAGUCAGGCGGACAUCAACGCGAAGGUGAAGCUUGCGGUCGAGAAAAAAGCAGCUGAGGACGCGAAAAAACAGCCGAGGAGAAAAAUGAGUUGCUACAGCAGGCAGUCAAUGCAGCUGUAACUGCCUGCAGAAAUGAUUUUGCUACUAACUUGGUUCCAGCUAUCAUCAACUGGACGAAGGAAAAUCCAGACAAGACGGUACAUGAUUUCCCGUUGCCCGGUUUCGUCGGGAGCAACUCCAUGAACAACAACACCACCACACCACACUUGCUUACGCAACUGGGCCUCCUCUCGCAGCCGCUCCCGCUCAUAGCAGCCCGUCCUCAGUCUCUAGCGCGCUAGGUGGCCCUUCGUCUUUGGCUGAGCUCGACGCCGUCACGGUAAUUACAUGUCGCACUGACANNNNNNNNNNNNNNNNNNNNNNNNNNNNNNNNNNNNNNNNNNNNNNNNNNNNNNNNNNNNNNNNNNNNNNNNNNNNNNNNNNNNNNNNNNNNNNNNNNNNNNNNNNNNNNNNNNNNNNNNNNNNNNNNNNNNNNNNNNNNNNNNNNNNNNNNNNNNNNNNNNNNNNNNNNNNNNNNNNNNNNNNNNNNNNNNNNNNNNNNNNNNNNNNNNNNNNNNNNNNNNNNNNNNNNNNNNNNNNNNNNNNNNNNNNNNNNNNNNNAUUCCAUUUUCGUUGCCUUUCGGAUGUUUUACGCCACAGACAUCUGUGUUUGCAGGCCAAAGAAACCCCGUGCACCAUACUCUACUUGAUCAAAGGCCAGAAGGUGGACGUGGGAAAGGUUAUGAUAAUGAACCCCUUGCAACCCACGUUCCACAACCAGCCGAUCCCCGCUAGGCACUUCAGGUUUAGCUUGUCCAGUGUGAAAUCGGGGCACGAGGAUUUGCCUCCUCCAGUACAGCAUGUGGGAGAGGACGACGAGACCCCGCCGCGGAUUGGAAGCUGCAAGGGUUGGGUGCUGCUAUGGCCGAAGAAUCUUAUUCGUCUGGAGCCGGCCGAGAGCACACCAAUAACCACACAUCAACAAGCAGGUGCGGAGACCACCACCCCGCCUACGCAAUUGCCAGCUCCUGUAGUGCUGGGUGAGAGCAGCGGACGACGUGAUGAAGGGGGUGCAAUAGUACUGGCUGAUGUAAUCGGUCCUGUAGAACAGAGAAUGGAUGAUGAGACGGAGGUCGACCCUAUGGGUUUCCUCAAUACAAACGCAUAUGACUGUGACAUAGAUAUGAUGAGUCAACCAUAUGACGAAUCGGGCUAUCAGCAUGCUAAUGCGGAUAUGGAUGAUAUGCCCGGGCAGGAAGGUCGUAGCAGGGAUUGCAAAAAGUCUCUCUUCAUGAAAUCCUCACAUGACACACCUGAAGAUGCCGCCUCAACACAGGCUCAACUAGCCGGGCGCGAGGGUCGUACAGUACUUAGCCCGGGAACACUGGGGCAGGGGUUAAGGAAGGGUCUGGAAGGUGUGCCCAAGAAAAAGGAGAGGAAGAGAUCGGGGAAGAUAGCUGCCUCCAAACAAGCCAGAGCACAUAGCAGCCAGACGAUGGACUCUGAAGAGCGUGUACCCGUGAAAGGUGCGGCCAUGUUCCAUCUCACGGGCGAGCCGAUGCUACCGCCGAAACCGCUGUAGGCACUAUCAGGGGAUCUCAGGAGACUGCACGACCAUGUGCUGUCGACUAAGAAAAGCCUACUAGCCUCAAAGGACCCAGGAUAUCCGACAUACGCGGCUCGUGUGCCUGAGGGGAAGUGCUACGUCAACACACGGCCCGCGGAGGUGUUCUUCCUGCGGUUUGACCAUAUCUUUGAGAUGUUUCUGACAAGGCGGCUCGAUUUUACAAUCAUCCGCCUUUUUGCGCUACAUACGAGCUCCGUCAUGAAGAGAGAAGAAGUCUCGCAAAUCUGUGUGGCGGAUCCGUACUACAUGCACGUGUCUUUCUUGAGUCUCGGCGACUUUGAGCGUGAAACUACUAGGGACUACCUCCAAACUUCAUGGUACAUAAUAAGGACCAGGAAAUUGUCCUCCUGCCUUAUCAUCCAAAGUAAGUCAGUUCCGGACAACCCUUUCGUACAUUUCAAUCAUUCCUUCUCGCUCAUAUGGAGAAUAAUUUGAGGUGUCUUUUCCCCGCAGCAACGGGCGCGCCGUCCUUAUCGUUCUUUACCCGCGAGUCUCCCACGCCGUGUAUUUCGAUCCUUCCAGAGACUACGAGAAAAAGGACUACACCCACAUAAUGAAUAUUCUAGAUGAUGCUAUCCAAGGCUUCAGCAUUAGAGGUGGCCACAUGCAGAUCAAGAAACAAAGGAACAAGAAGAUGGGUUUCGCGCAUAAAACUAACUUCUCCUGCAUCCAUGUCCCAAAACCAAGCAAGAAGGAUGGAUUCUACAUCGUCCAUCUCAUGAUUGAGUUCAGCACAGAUCACCAAAAGCUUCGCAUGACAAGCAGAAAUGAUGAUCAUAUCCACAAGUGGCUAGAAUCUCAUGGAGAAGCGGAUUAUAAACUUAGAGAUGACUUCUUUCGCAUCCAAAGGGACAUUGCGACGAUCAUCAUGAAAGAAGUCGUCGAUGAGAAGGGGAUCUUCCACCAUGGCCCUAUAUCGCGAGCUGACGUCCGAACUCGCAUAGGCAUGCAACGUCUAGACCUCACGCCAUUCAAGAAGCUAGGGUCCAUCCUCGAUGAUACGGAAGGAUGGAACUUCUAGUGAUUUACGAUGCCGAUGAUGAUGAUAUGUGUCAGUUGAACUUGUAUACUUUCUGUAGCGAUGAAACUUUGUGAUGUCCACGGUCCCUGCCGAACUUGCGUAACACUACUUUGUUAGUUUGCGUACGAUGACCUGCGUACCUCUAGUUAAUUAGUUUGCGUACGGUAUGUUGCAUCUAGUUGCUAACCCUUUCUUUUUCGUGUUGCUCUAGUAUAUUUUGUUGCAUAUGAUUGUACAUCCUCUUGAUGAAGAUGCAUCUCUAACAGGUACCUAGUUUCUUGAUGGCGAAGUGCUAUGUGGUGUACGAAGGGAAGGUUCCGGGAGUGUAUGACGAGUGGCAUGAGUGUCAGGCGCAAGUGCAGGGGGUCUCGGGCGCCAGCCAUAAAGGCUUCAAAAGCAGACAAGAAGCACAAGCUAGUUACUUGAGGUUCAGGCGAGCGCGAGAGAGGACUCAUGACCGCCGCCUCAUGUACUGCAUAGUUCCACUAUCACUCAUAGUGAUAGCACUUCUCGCGUAUAUCAUUGUUUAGAUGGAUGACGUUGUAGUUACAAGUAUUCGAGACUUGCAUGUAUCGUUAUUUUUGAGAUGAUGAUGAGAUACCACUUUGUGUAGGAUGAUGAUUAUGAUGAGACUAUUUGUAUGUAUAUUCUAUGAUUACAUUUGUGAUCUCGCAGCGAUUUGUAUGUGUAUGAUGAUGACAUUUGUAUGUGCUAAAGAUUCUUGUAUAAAGCCUGUUCAAAUACAAAACAAAUAUGCAGGAAAAAAAUCAAAAACUACUAAAAUUAGCAGUAGCGAGUGGAGGAAAGUUAGCAGCAGCGUGACUAUAGCAGUAGCGCGUACGGCCAAAGCGCGCUAGAGCUAUUAGCAAUAGCGAGCUUCCACGCAGCACGCUGCUGCUACACUUAUAUAGCAGUAGCGCGGGCGCGCACGCGCUGCUGCUAUGGGUUAGCUGUAGCGCCCUAUUAGUAGCGCCGGUGCCCGCGCUACUGGUAGACCAAAAACCCGCGCUGCUGCUAGGCUUUUCCCUAGUAGUGUGGGUGCCCCAUACCCGACAGGCGUCCUGGUUGGGAGCUCAGGUCUUAGAUGUUAGGUUUGGCUGCGAGGUCUGUUUGAUAUUAGGCACAGACUAUCAGCAUCCCUACACCAACUAGAUAGGAAUAGCGACAGAUGUUGCCUAGACGGUGGUUUUAGUCUUACUGUUGUAUGACUUUGUAAUGUCUUGUGUGAAUAAUUAAUAAAAUGAUUUUUUGAGACAAAAUUAAUAAAGUGGUUGCAUGCAUCGUCCAGAUGGAGAGGCCGAGGGUCCUCUUCCUUUUCUUAAAAAAACUGCAUGGCCUCAAUGAAUUAAUGGUUAAUGCUUGUGACAUUUUAAAAAAUGUUAAUCAUGCAUUUUAGAAAGUUAAACGUGUACAAAAAAAUGAUAAUGUUGUGACAUUUACAAAAAAAUGCUUAUGACAUCUACAAAACGUCACGUAUCUACAAAAUGUACCUAACAUUAAAGAAAUGUUUACAUAAUGUAAGAAAAAACUAUCUUUUGUUUUUUGCGAGAGAAAAAAAACUAUCCGUGUAAAUCAAAACAAAUGUUUCGUACAUUUAAAAAAUAUACAUUGUUAGGUACUAAAAAACAUCUGUGUAAAAAAAAAAUCACGAGUUGCAAAAUGUGUUUGAGACAUUUUUUGAAAAAGUAUAUGCCAUGUAAAAAGUGUUCAUGCCAUCCUAAAAACAUUUUUCGUACCCUUAAAAAAUAUACGUGACAUUUAAAACAAAUUCCAAAGGUUCAAAAAAAUGUUCCUGAUAUUUAAAAAGAUGACGAUACAAUGUAGGAAUAUGUUCCUGUAUAUCAAUAAACGUUUAUUUCCAUUACCAAAAUGUACAUGACGCCGUAAAGAAAUAUUCACGUGUGUCAAAAAACCAGUGAAAUUUUUAAAAAUAUUUAUGUAGUGUAAAAAAUGUCUGUGUAGUUCAAAAUAAUCUUUCUAUCAUUAAAAAAGUACAACAUGUAUUUCAGAAAAUGUUGACAUGCUUUCAAAAAAGUAUUCAGAACAUGCAUUUUUAGAAAAUGUGUAUCAAAUGUUCGAAAAAAUUCCAAAGUGUAUCAAAAAAUGUUUCACAUGUAUGCUAGGAAUAUGCAUUAUGUACUGAGAAAAAUUAGACAUGUGUUGAGCAAAGAUACUAAUUAAAACAGACAAAGAAACAAAAACCAAAGAAUACGAACAAAACCAAGAAAUAAAGAAAAGAAAACCAGAAGUAAGACAAAAAUGAAAAAUCUAAAGACAACUAUUGAAAACACAAAGUAUAGCGAAAGAGAAAAGAAAAAUCAAAGAAACCGGUGAAAAAAGAAAUAAAAACAAAAUAAAAUGUUACAAGAAAAGAAAAGAAGGAUAACCGGAGCAGAACGAGCGAACCCCUCGGCCUGCGGUCUGGGCCUUGUUAACAAGGGUUUUCGCAUUUUCUAUUGUGUUUAUUUUCUUGAGGGGUUCACAUUUUCUAUUGUGUAAAAAUUAAAAAAGAACAAAAAAUUGGCCCAUACAGGUCUCGAACCUGUGACAUUCGCGUUAUUAGCACGACGGUCUAACCAGCUGAGCUAAUAGGCCACUCGUACAAAUUCAAUGUUGUCCCCUUUUUAGUUAUUAUUACUAGUGAAACGUGAUCGACUAAUACAUGUGCAGUGCCGGUCCUCCAACAAGAUUUGAGAGGGUGAUAGAUGAGCCAUGGCCAGACAUGAAAGGGGUUAACCUAGUUUUUUAUGUCAGUUUUGGCCUAAAUAGUGUUAAAACGGGCUUUUCCUUUCCUGUGUUCCCCCGCGCGUCGCCUCUGGCGCACGGGGGAAACCCUAACCGCGCCGCCAGCCGCCCCUCCCCCGCUUCGCCGCCGCCGGAGGGGACAGCGGCGAAGCCCGCGUGCUCCCCAGGGAAGGUGGCGGCGGGGCGUCCUCGUCGUUCUCGCGCAGAUCUCGCGGCGGCCGGUGGCGAUCUUGCGGCGGCCGGUGGCGCGCGGCGGUGUUCCGCCGGUGGCUGGCGCCUGCUGCCCGUGGGGCGGCGUCCCUCACGGCAGCGGGGCUGCCCUUUAACGGCGCUUGGUGGUGGCCACAUGGCGGCGCGCGGGUGGGCCGGAUCUGGGCUUCCAGUCUGUGUCCUCGUCGUGGCAGCGCUUGCCGUUGCCCUCGGCCAUGAGGCGUGGUCCGGGACGGGCCGAGCGCCUGUGGUGCUGGCCAGGACGCACGCUGGCAGCGCCCUACUUCAUCUCGCGUCGUCUCGCUGGCCAAUGGUGGUGGUCAUCUUCUUCGUCAGAGAUGGCCGGCCAGAGGCUUGGUGAUCGGAUCUCGAGAUCCAUCAUCUAGUCCCGGCUAUGAGUUGGGGAGACAUGGUUGCUGGUGAAAACCGAGCCGUUGGCAGGCGAUGGCGGCGUUCUACGUCGUUACCUUGAUGGAGGCAUCGUCGUGUAACUACUGUCGACCCACUCGUGCUGCUCGGGGGGAAACCCUAGGAUCUGGUGUUCCAGAUCGGACGAUGGCGGCAUUGCGGUGUCGUUUCUCUCUUGGGAGCAUCGUUUGUGGAGCAGUGCUGGAAGUCAGAGGCAGGAGGUGGAGCGGCUUCGUCUUGCACGGAGCUUCGGUGGAGAUGUUAAGUCAUGCCUGACCGACAGGUGCUACGCUUUGUCAUGCCUGGUCGGCAGGUGCUACGCACGACAGAUCUUCCAAAGACUUCAAGCUGUGUCGGCUGGUGGUACUUGGCAGCACGGUGCUGAGGUGUAUCAAUGGCGACCGCGACAUGCACAGCUGUUUGCGCGCAGGAAGGAGGUGCCGUUGGGCGCCGUGGUGGCGUCGACGAUAGCUAGACCGAGCAAGGUUGAUGCAUCAGUACAGUUCUAAAGAUGGAGCGGUGGCAGUUGGCAGCGGCGGCCUCUGAGAGCACGCCGGACCGGCGAGACCCAUGCCCGGCAGGCGUACUGGAUGGGUCCUCAGGUCUUAGAUGUUAGGUUUGGCUGCGAUGUUUGUUUGGUAUUAGGCCCAGGCUCUCUGCGCCCCUUCAUCAACUGGAUAGAUGUAGCGAUAGUUUGUUGCUUAAGACGGCGGCUUUAGUCUUACUGUGGUAUUACUUUGUAAGGUCUUGUGAAAAUAAUUAAUAAAGUGGCCGUAUGCAUCGCCCAGAUGCAGAGACCGGGAGCCAUCCUCCUUUUCUAAAAAAAAGAAAUAAAUUUUGUCGGAGAGUCAUACCCACUUUGGCCCUAACUAAGCUCCGCCACGAUAAAUCUGGUGAAUAGUGCGAAGAAAAGAGUAAUAAGAGAAUGAAUCAAAAGAAAAGAAAAUCAUCAGAGGGGUCGAGCUAAGAGAAGAAAUCAUCUUUGCUCCAUGAGGCGAUCUGCAAAAAUAAAACAAUAGAUCUUGCUAGUUCCCAUCUCGUUGUCCAUGAUUGUAAGUAAUCGUCGCUGUUGGAAUCUUUUUCUAUCAUUGUUUCUGACUUUCUGUGAUGUGAUGUGUGUGCAAAUCAUCCUGCAACAGCUACAUGAUAAUAAAGCCAUACAUGCAGGCUGGCGAAUGGUGCUCAAGGCACAUCUCUAUCGACCGGUCAUGUCUAUAUACAUUCUUUUAUAUGUGUGUUUCUUCUUGAUUGUUUGGAACUUCAAGAACUGGUCUUUGAAUUUUCCAAAAAAGGGCCUCAUGGAGGCGAAGCUCCAAAAUCAAUUUCCGCGCACCACUGAGAAAUAAAAUAAUGUUUUCAUCAUAUCCCUCAAUAUUCUUUGUCCAGAUAUGUACCUGGAUGAAAAAUAACGGUGGCGUGGAGCACCAAGGCGAGAUGCGAAAUAUUGGUGAUAUUUGUCUCCACAACAUGCACAGAGUCAUCAUAUGCGGCCAAUUGUGUAAGAAGAAUAAUUAUGUCAAGAACUGUGUAGCCAUAGAUGGAGCUUUCCACAGGGGUGAUUGGCACCACCCACUCAGUUUCCUUCUCACCUUUUUGCAUAGCUUUCAUCUGCAAAUAUACAAAAGUGAGUUGAUAUGCGAUCUGUGUUAAAUUUUUGAAUGGGUGUUCUAUUCUUUCACAUAUUUACUUCUAUUUGACAGCACAAGGCAUGAAAAAUCAUAAAUUUUUACAAGCGUACAUAAUACCUGGUCAUGUACAUUAUGAUUGGUUUUGAGUUUUUUCAAAAGUAUGACAAAUAAAGAAAAAAAUACAGAUAAACAUCUCCAAGAUCCUUCCUCUCCUGUGAUAACAUGAAUUAGUUAUAAUAGCAGAUUAUCACACAAAAAUGUAAUUACAUAAAUCAAUUCCAACACCAAAUGAAUAUUGGCUCUAGUUCCUUAUAUCGAGAAAGAAGCUAGCUAGAGACCAAGGGAAUCAAAUGACGGGGGGAGGCGGCCCUAUCUUUAUUCGUCUUCCCUAUAUGCUGAUCCCUCGGUUGGUUGCGUACAUCCUUUUGCCAAAGUGCGUGCGUACGUGCAGCAUCUCUCAUCUCAUCUCUCCUUCUUGCUCCUUCUCCCUCGCUGUAAAAUACUCCCUCCGUCCGUACAUACGGAUGUAUAUAGACAUAUUUUAGAGUGUAGAUUCACUCAUUUUGCUUCGUAUGUAGUUAUUUGUUGAAAUCUCUAAAAAGACAAAUAUUUAGGAACGGAGGAAGUAUGUAGUUACUGCAUGAAUAUGAAAAUAAUAGCAUAAUGCGGUCUGUACCACUGAACUGGGGUGCCGGAGGCCCUACACGAAAUAUCAGUGAUAUUUAAAAUAACCCCACGUAAGAAACAAGUCGAUGACAUAGUCCACUUCCCUAAGAAAGAAGGGAAAAAGCACGCGCGGGUUGACUCGGUGCCCCCGCACUUGUGUGCCUCAAAUCCGCUCCCUUGGAAAUCAUAGUUGAAUUGGUAGUUAUAUGAUAUUAUAGAAAAAUGUAAGACAUAAAUUGGAAGAUGCGAUGGAGAUGGAAAUGAGUAAGAGGUGGAAGGUUUUUACAUGAUAAACCAUACGGAGAUACAUAUUACAUAUUUUGGAUGGUCUGCUAGAGAUGCUCCAAUGCGCUCUUGUCCCCCUUAGUAAAUUUGUACAAAAGGCAUUUUCUUCCUAAAAUUUGGGAAUUUGGUUCAAAUUUUGACGUAAAUACUCGUAACAUUUCACCAAGAAAUAAAAUCAUUCCUGAAAUAAUCCCUGAAUCUUGAAGCAUAGCCAUCAUCGGUUAUCGGCCGAGAUCGAUAUUUUCUCCGACGACAUGAACAAAUAAAAUUACAUUACAAUAGCUAGCUAGAUUCCCACAGAUGAAUUUUGGUUAUAGUUCCUUGUAAGAAAGACAGACAGAAAGAAGCAAGGUAGAGAUAUGGACGGAGGGAAUCAAAUUGAGUGAUGAGGCGGCCCUAUCCUUAUUCCUCUUCCCUAAGCGCGGUGGUCCCUCGGCCGCUCGCCUCCAUCCUUUUAAUUUCCUUUGCCAAAGUGCCUGUGCCUAUACGUGCGUGCAGCAUCUCUUCUCCUCCUGCCCCCUGCCUAUAAAUAGGCCUCCAUGCCCCUCCAUUAUUCCUCAAGCCAGCAAGAAGCACACACGAAGCUCAUAGCCAUUCAAAGCCUCUCCAUCUCCGAAGCUCCAACCCAACCUCGAAGAUGUCUUGCUGCGGAGGAAACUGCGGCUGCGGCACCGCCUGCAAGUGCGGCAACGGCUGCGGCGGCUGCAACAUGUACCCCGAGGUUGAGGCCGCCGGCGCCACCCUCCUCGUCUCCGCCACCGCCACCCACAAGGCGUAAGUUUCUGUCUCUUAACAAAAUUUCCUCCUGAACCCAUACAUCAUCAUGCACUCGAUCGUAAUAAUAUGACUGGAUGUUGAUCUUGGUAUGGAUGGGGUACGUGCAGGAGCUCCGGCGGGAUGGAGAUGGCGGCCGAGAACGGCGGCUGCGGCUGCACCCAGUGCAAGUGCGGCACCAGCUGCGGCUGCUCCUGCUGCAGCUGCUAGAUCCAUCAUCGAUCAUGCAUGCACCGUGCCGUGCGUGCAUCAUCGAUCAUAUCGAUCUACUACUACCAUACCAUGUAACCGCAACCUGAUCGAGGGCCUUUAUGUACGCACCUGACCUGCAUCAGCAGUCAGGUGCCAUGCCAUGAUUGUAAACAGGCCCCCCUAAAUAAAACCUCCCUUGAUUAACUAUACAUGUGUCGUCUGUGGUAUGCAUAUAUCAUCACCUUCUUUUUCUUCUUCCUCAUGGCAGAAAAAACACUGCUUAAGAGUUGAGAGCGCCGAGAAUAUUACUAGAAAUGGUCAUAAG
Molecule: long non-coding RNA, 75002 nt
Filed under: Triticum aestivum (bread wheat)
Lineage: Eukaryota; Viridiplantae; Streptophyta; Magnoliopsida; Poales; Poaceae
Description: long non-coding RNA (TAES_LNC000954)
Rfam family: tRNA (bases 16589-16662)
Source: RNAcentral